UCGGAGCCUAGGCAUCAUCUCCAUCCACCAUUCUUUGGUCCUUCCCUUUAAAGACGAACCAAGGACACUAAGACCCAACGGAAGAUUACCGGCAAGCUUCGCAACUUCAAAUGCUAGUUCCUUAAAAUCAUCAGGUGGAGAGUCUUUCCCAAAAGCAGAUCGGCAUAACAUCGUAAGAGCAAGAUGUUCAGAUGGGAACUCCACCUCAUAUAUAAGGUCAAUCUCAUGAGCCUUGAGAAGUUGCCUAUCUUGAGUGAUCACAAUUAUUCUGCUUCCAGAUCCAAACCAUUCAGCUUUUCCCACCAAGGUCUUAAGAAACUCUAGACUAUCCACAUCAUCAAGAAGGAUAAGAACUUUCUGUUGCUUUAACCUUUGCUCCACCACACCAAAAUGCUCUAUCUUUAUGUCCUUUUGACCUAAGAUUUCCGAGAGAAGUUCUUUUUCCCACCUCAACUUCAUGCCAGAGACGUCACUACCGCUGGUGCUUUUAUAUGUUAUGAAAGCGCGAUGGUGGAACUGGAUAGAGAGUUUACUGUAAAGAGCUCUUCCUAUGGUACUCUUACCAAUCCCUGAUUGUCCCCAAAUCCCGACCAUUAUUCUAGCUUCCUUGGAUUCCAAGCACAAUACUGAUUUUAUUGCCUCUAUAUGAUUUUCAAUUCCGACUAAGUCGCCAAAAUCAUCCGAUGGUGUCAUAGUUUUUCUCAAAACAUCCUCGGCAAGCUCUUCAAUCAUGGCUGCUUCACUAGGCCUAAUAACAAUAGUCAACUGUUUCAUUAAAGAAGCAACGCAAAACAAAAAAAUCACGAAGUCUAUUCAUUGAAAUACCAUUUCCGAAGAUCAUAUCCGGCCAUAACUGCAACAGCUGCUAGAGCUUGCUUCCAACUUUGUUUCUCAUCCUCUGAUUUAGCCUUGCAUGUCUCUUCAAAGACCUUUCCAAAUUCGCCGGUCUGUUUUUUAACUUCCGAAGCAUCAACGUGGAAGAAAAUCGGAAUCACCAUUUGAUUCAAAUUCGUAUAACACUUGUGAAUCUCCACCAAUUCAUUCAGGCACCAGGUGGAUGAAGCAUAGUUCUUAGAGAAGAUAACGAUUGCUAUUCUCGAUUCUUUUAUUGCCGAUAAAAGCUCCGGGCCGAUUGAGCGGCUCCUCUCGAUCUCAUCAUCUAUGAAUGUGAUUGCUUUGCCCCUGAGCUCCUUGAGAAGAUGGCUGAGGAAUGAGUCACGGACAUCUUCUCCACGAAAGCUUGGGAAAACGUCGUAUCUCCGGCUGCCAGAAGAAGAAGCUAUCUCCAUAUCAUCAUCUUUGGAUGUAUCCAUCAUUUCACGGUCGAGCUCGAGCUCCUUGACAAGAUGGCCACGAAACAAUUUGCCGAAAUUUUCUCCACUGAAGCUCGCGAAAACAUUGUAUAUCCAUCUGAGAACAUUGUAUAUCUAUCUGAAGCAAGAAGACGCCAUGGCAGAGGAUGAGAGAGAAGAGACGAAAUUUCUCAAAGGAAAACUCUUUGAAGUAUAUCAAUAAUACAACACAGUAACAGAGAGGAGAAACUUGGUCUUCCUUUCCUCGAAGACUUGUAUAGAAGACUUACUAUACAAGAUAUUGUUUUAGUGGUUAAAAUCAAAUCCCAUUACAAGACAAUUGGGACAAAUAAUACGUAAACUUGGUCUUCCUUUCUUAGAAGACUUGCAUAGAAGACUUACUGUACAAGAUAUUUUUUUAGUGGUUGAAAAAUCAAAUCCCUAACAAGAUAAGGCCAUAAUUAUGUGAUACAGAAACUUCCCCUUCCUUUCCUUGGAAAGCUUCUACUCUAUAACGAUAAGUCAAUUUUGUGGCUAUCAGUCGUCACUGAAUUUAUCUAUGAUGAUGAGACGUAGCCAUUCUACAAGAUUUCAAGAUAAUUUCUAGGCAAAAUAGACAGAAACUUCCUCGAGAGCUACUUUUCCUCUCCACAGAUAUUUUUGAAGACCCAAAAUUUUGUGGCUGUCAGUGGUUCAAGACAGAAACAAGAUUUCAAUUUAUUUUAACAAUGUUAAGGUUCACUAAUAUCAAAAGUCUGGUUUUCCUAUUCAUACUGUACAUACAUGCAUGGAAAUUAGGAGAAUAAUUAGUAUAUCGAUUAUGAGGAUUAUAAUUCAACUAAUAAUACAGUGAAAACACUAACAACAAACUAUCUAGUUUUCUAGAGCUGUGUGGUGUGGACAGUGGAGAGAAUAUUUUCAUGUAAAGUUUUCUUGUUUACAUUUACAAUUGUAAUAUUAGUUUAGAGUUUUGGCUUACUGUGUCAGCAACCACUGUAGGCUGCGAUUGCAUUUGCUGCCGUUUAAGGAGCAUUUGGUUUCUAAGGGUAGGUUUCAUGUACUGGAUGGAAGAAGUCGUGCUUGAGAGCAUCCUCUGCACUGAUUCGCCGUCUCGGGUUAACGGUCAAACAUCUAUCAACGAGGUCAAGGAGCGACCAUGGAAUUGCAUCUAGAAACUCCAUGCGUUUUGGGUUGAGUUCGUACCAUUUUCUCAACUCCAUCCCUUUCAAGUACCUUGACUUGUACAAUUCCUGAAACAACAACACAAAAAUCAACCUGAACUCAUCUCUCACGAUCAUCUAUCUAAUAAUUUUGUCGGUAAUUUACAUUUUUAAGAUAUAUAAUGUUUUGGAACACAAAAUGCUAACAAUGAAAACCCUUUUGUGAUAUUUGAAUCCAAAUGCUGGCGGCAAAGAAGAACAGAACAUGUAUGUUAUGUUCACACCAAUGCAGUAAUCAAAUGAAUGGAGAGUUUACAAGGGAUGAAAGAUGAGAUUUUACCUCAUGUAAAGAGGAUUCACGGUUGUGCAGCUUGGCUACUUCCCAUAAUUCUUCACUGCCUCGUAGUUGCGCAAUGUCCUUUAUGUUCCUGGGAAUGACAAGGUCGUUGUAAGACGGCAAGAAAGAAGAAAAAAGUGGAACCGAGUGAUGGUGUAUUCAGUCAAGUCAGAUCUUAACUGUUCAGGGUCACCAGUGAGAGCUUUCCUUCCCAUUAUGAGGUAUAACAAAGUAACUCCCGCAGAACACACGUCUUUUUUUAGGUCCUUGGUCCAAAGACCAUUCAGCCGAGAACAGCCCUAGAGAAUUAGCUUUUCCAUCCCAUCCUAGAUGUGUUAAUGAGUAGCUCAGGGAACAAGAUAUUUUCAUAUGGAUUUAACUAGUAUCAAGGGAAGUGAUAUAUCUGCAGGAAAAAUGGCUUGUGUCAAAACAUAUGAAAUCGUCUUGCCAUUAUCAUUAUAGUCAUGCUCGGUCCCAAGUUAUCCUAAAACAGAGGAAAACCGAAUAAUAAGAUGCUUCAGUUACCAGAACCAGAAUUCAAGAUAGGAAUUUCUUCAUCUUGUUGUUCACUUAUCAUGGAAUCAACACACAAAGAUUCCCCCUCCAGAGAUGGAUAAGAAGAAACUGAUGAUGCUUCUCCCUGCCCUAACGAAAGCUCCAUAUUUAGAGCGGUCAAGCUUGUGUCCGCUACAAUUUGGACACAGGGUAAGUUGAUAUAUUCUUCAGAUGUUCCCGAUGUCAUCUGCAUCGUAAACCAAAGGAUCGAUUCUGUUAAAUAGUCUGUCACUAAGGUAUUGAUCCUGGAAAAUAUAAUAAAACAUCAAGAGAUAGCUUUGCAAUUUUCAGUUCUAAUUAUGUCAAAAGGCUUACCCGCAUCCGCUUAUUGCUUCUCGCAGUCUCUACAACAUCACAUUUUUCUCGAGACUGUUGGCUGUACUCUGUUUCAGAGCUUCCAUCACUAUCAUCUGGAAAUGGAGACACAUUCAAGAGUCGUAUACCACAUUCUUUUAUCCUCUUGGAGCAAGAAAAGUUAAACUCCACAUCGUUGAAAGUCAAUUUAGAUGGAAGAUCUUCAGGCUGGAAGUUGAAGGAACAGAAAACCAGAUGAUCCGUCUUACACAACCGCAGGUCUGCAUCUUUAAAAAAUGAUUUGCAAUACAGUGUCCCAUUGAAGCCAGCAUUUACCUCACAAUAUGGACCCCAACUCUUGCCCUCAGUUAGAAGGUCAACCACGAUGCAAGCCUUAAAGCAAGAAUACUUGAGAAAGAGAGCUCUAAGGUAAAGUGACAGUUAGGGAAUCUCCAUAAGCUCGAUGUUGAAAAUACGUUGGCACUUCUCCACCUGGUAAGGACAUAGGCUUGAACAAUGACCGUAAGAUGAGUUCUCGCGCAUCUCCAUCCAAUUUGCAGCAGUUCUGGAAGAGAUAAUGAAAGGCCCCGAUCCGGACUACCUAAGUCCGGACGAGAUCUCUCGACCCAAGUCACUAAGUGACUCGACCCAAGUCACUAAGUGACUCGACCCUAACCAUUUAUGAGGUUCAUUCCCUAGUGUAAUCCGUUUCAUACAAUUCUGUGAUUCAAUAUAUGAGACGAAUAGAGUAAACAAACAAUCGGAUACUUUAUUAAUUAAGUAAAGGAUUCGAUACAACUUAUGAGUUUGCAUAUAAGCUAUUACAAGUAAUUUAAUCGAUCCCUAGACUAUCCGAAACUAUCACCACCCAUCAUUCCGGCCUUGAGUCUCUCGCGCCUAAGCCAAGUCCUUCCCACUAUCACCAUUGGUUCCUGAAAGUCAUAGAGCCAUAAGUAAUUUCAUUUACUUAGUCAUAUGCAAGUCCAUGCAAUGCUCCAUAGUCCUUACACUACUCGGAUCCGCGGAGAGGAUUCGGAGAAGGGAAGAUCGCGCAUAAGUCCGGCCGAUUCUCGGUAGGUCAAUUAAGACCCGCCGGUCCUCCGCCGAGCCGCGUCUCCGCCCCAGCCGAUCCCUUGCCCGGACCGAGGCUUGUGUAGGUUGCACAUGACCCGAUUCUACCCAGCCCAUUAGUCGUUCCUUUCAAGGAAUCCCGACUCAUUUAACGCAUUCUAGAAUCCUUAGACUCGAGGUCUAGGAUUCCUUACCUUCCUUCACGAUGUUCGGUCGAUCCGACCCUUCUUCUUCCUUGCCGGCCACAGUCCGCCUACCGAUUUCCUCCGAUGAUUUAUUCUCCCGAAAGGGAGAGAGUUUAAUGGUGAGUUUCCGGUAUUUUCCGUGUGUUCUGCUGCCUCUAAAGGUCUUGGGCGCCCUCCCUUAUAUAAGGAGCGAAUUGAUGCUUCCCGAAGGAUCACCUCCGUUCCUUGCACCUUUCCGAAGAGUUGCAUCUCUCGGUCCGUAACUGCUCGCCCUUAUCCACCCUUUGGGCGAGCACCCGUUCGACCGUAACCGCCCAAGUAACCGUCCGGGUAACCGCCCAGCUGGUCAGACAGUCGACCAGCUGCCUCGAGCUCAACCGUCACUCGCCCAGCUGCUCGAGCUGGACUGUCACUCAACCCGAGUAACCGUCACUCCUUCCAGCUGAGCUUGAGCUUCGGACGAGCUGACCCAGCUGAUUCCUUUACGAUCCUAGCUUAGCCCGCAUGAUUUCCCUUUGUCCGAGCUUAUGGCCAACUCCUUCCCACUUGUCCGAGACUCCACCUUCUUUUCUCGGACCAAGUCCCAGCCAACGAUCCUAUUGAGGAUCGCGGGCGUUACAAGUCUCCCCUUUGAAUUGGAUUCGACAAAUCGAAUCCAAGUUGAUCUUUACCCAUCUCCUUGAACCACUCCGGAAAAUUGGCCUUCAUCUUAGUCUCGGUUUCCCAAGUGUAUUCUUCACGGCCUCCACAAUUCCACAAGAUUUUUAACAAAUCCAUUGAUUUCCCCCGAGUCCCUUUCUUCAUUUGGUCCAUGAUCCGUACCGGCCAUGCUUCCACCGUCAUGUUCUCCUUUAACCCAGGAGGUACAUCUUCCAUGCUUUCUUCUUGUUCACUUAAGCACUUCCGUAGUUGUGAUACAUGAAAGACAUUGUGAAACGCGUCUAGUUUUGGAGGAAGGUCAAGUUUGUAUGCCACCGCCCCUACUCGUUCGAUCACUUUGUACGGGCCAACGUACCUUGGCCUUAACUUUUUCCUUGAUGUGAAUCGCCCUGCCCCUUUGUAGGUCAUCGCCUUUAAAUACACCAAGUCUCCCACUUGGAAUUCUAAUUCCUUUCGACGCUUGUUGGCGUAACUUUUCUGACGAUCUUGGGCUUCCUUUAACUUGAUUUUUAAGAACUUCAUUUUCUUCGUGGUUUCAUCCACGACCGCAGGUCCGAACAACCGACGUUCGCCCACUGGCGUCCAACACAACGGUGUUCUACCAGCUCGGCCAUACAACGCCUCAUAGGGAGACAUACCAAUACUAGCUUGAAAACUGUUAUUGUACGCAAAUUCUACUAACCUUAGAUAUUUCUCCCAGUUUCCUCCCCAAUCCAAGACGCAUGCCCUCAACAUGUCCUCGAGGGUUUGAAUCGUUCGUUCGGACUGUCCGUCCGUCUGUGGGUGAUAUGCAGUACUUAGAUUCACUCGAGUCCCUAAGACCUUUUGAAAAGGCUUCCAAAAUUUUGACGUGAACCUUGUGUCUCGGUCCGACACUAUACUAACCGGAAUCCCAUGUAAUCGCACGAUCUCGUCUAUGUACUUCUCGGCAAUGAUUUCGGCUGCAUCCUUAUCCGAGAUUGCCAUGAAGUGCGCAGACUUAGUCAAUCGGUCUACUACAACCCAUACCGCAUUGUGUUUGGACUUGAUCCCCGUCGGCAGUCCCGUGACGAAGUCCAUCAUUAUAUGGUCCCACUUCCAUUCCGGUAUAGGUAGGUUUUGUAACAUUCCACUUGGUACUUGAUGCUCUUCCUUGGCUACCCACCUGGCCACAUCUUUCUUCAUUCCUACCCAAUGGUAGUAUCUUUUAAGGUCGCGAUACAUCUUGUUCGACCCAGGAUGGAUCGAGAACUUCGAUUGAUGCGCUUCUUUUAGGAUUUCCUCCUUCAACGCCUUAUCGUUCGGCCCACAUACUCGACCGUUCACCACGAUAGUACCAUUGUUCGAGCUUUGGUACUCGGUUUUAUUGUUUUGUGCCCACCCUUUUAUUUCUUCAUCUCGUUCUUGAGCCGACCGGAUCCUACUAAGUAGGUCGGCUUGAUUGGCGGCUCUCAACCCUAAGGGUUCAACUUCCUUAGACAAAGCAUUCAAAUGCAAUGUCCCCAUCAUGUUAACCAAAUUCACUUGGUUCCUUUCCGCUUCCACUACCGUGCGCAGCCUGCUCAAAGCAUCUACAACUUGGUUGGCCUUGCCCGGAUGGUACGCUAUGUUCAAGUCGUAAUCCGCCACAAGUUUUAUCCACCUUCUUUGCCUUAGAUUUAACUCCGGCUGGGUGAAUAUGUAUUUUAGGCUCUUGUGGUCAGUAAAGAUUUGAACCUUGGCACCAUACAAAUAUGAUCGCCAAAUCUUCAACGCAAAUACUACCGCGGCCAUUUCCAAAUCAUUCGUAGGGUAGUUCUUCUCGUGUUUCCGCAAUUGCCUCGAGGCGUAUGCGAUAACACUCCCCUUUUGGAUCAAUACGCAUCCUAGUCCUACUAUGGAUGCGUCCGUGUAGACCGUAUAGGGCUCACCUUCCUCCGGUAAGACCAACACCGGUGCAUUAGUCAACAUGGCCUUUAACUCCAGGAAGCUUCUCUCGCAUUCCUCCGACCAGUUGAAUGCGGUGUCUUUUCCGGUCAAUUGAGUCAUGGGUUGGGCCAUGCUCGCAAAUCUCUCGACCCAAGUCACUAAGUGAAUGGACCCUAACCAUUUAUGAGGUUCAUUCCCUAGUGUAAUCCGUUUCAUACGAUUCUGUGAUUCAAUAUAUGAGACGAAUAGAGUAAACAAACAAUCAGAUACUUUAUUAAUUAAGUAAAGGAUUCGAUACAACUUAUGAGUUUGCAUAUAAGCUAUUACAAGUAAUAUAAUUGAUCCCUAGACUAUCCGAAACUAUCACCACCCAUCAUCCCGGCCUUGAGUCUCUCGCGCCUAAGCCAAGUCCUUCCCACGAUCACCAUUGGUUCCUGAAAGUCAUAGAGCCAUAAGUAAUCUCAUUUACUUAGUCAUAUGCAAGUCCAUGCAAUGCUCCAUAGUCCUUACACUACUCGGAUCCGCGGAGAGGAUUUGGAGAGGGGAAGAUCGCGCAUAAGUCCAGCCGAUUCUCGGUAGGUCAAUUAAGACCCUCCGGUCCUCCACCGAGCCGCGUCCCCGCCCUAGCCGAUCCCUUGCCCGGACUGAGUCUUGUGUAGGUUGCACAUGACCCGAUUCUACCCAGCCCAUUAGUCGUUCCUUUCAAGGAAUCUCGACUCAAUUAACGUAUUCUAGAAUCCUUAGACUCGAGGUCUAGGUUUCCCUUACCUUCCUUCACGAUGUUCGGUCGAUCCGACCCUUCUUCUUCCUUGCCGGUCACAGUCCGACUACCGAUUUCCUCCGACGAUUUAUUCUCCCGAAAGGACGAGAGUUUAAUAGUGAGUUUCCGGUAUUUUCUGUGUGUUCUGGUGCCUCUAAAGGUCUUGGGCACCCUCCCUUAUAUAAGGGGCGAAUUGAUGCUUCCCGAAGGAUCACCUCCGUUCCUUGCACCUUUCCGAAGAGUUGCAUCUCUCGGUCCGUAACUGCUCGCCCUUAUCCACCCUUUGGGCGAGCACCCGUUCGACCGUAACCGCCCAAGUAACCGUCCGGGUAACCGCCCAGCUGGUCAGACAGUCGACCAGCUGCCUCGAGCUCAACCGUCACUCGCCCAGCUGCUCGAGGUGGACUGUCACUCAACCCGAGUAACCGUCACCCCUUCCAGCUGAGCUUGAGCUUCGGACGAGCUGACCCAGCUGAUUCCUUUACGAUCCUAGCUUAGCCCGCAUGAUUUCCCUUUGUCCGAGCUUAUGGCCAACUCCUUCCCACUUGUCCGAGACUCCACCUUCUUUUCUCAGACCAAGUCCCAGCCAACAAUCCUAUUGAGGAUCGCGGGCGUUACAGAUAACCUGCCCUACAGGCCAAAUGUUUGUGGUUAAGGUUUUCCCAGAAACGAUGACGAGUAUACUCAAUGUUUUCAUAUAAUGGUAUAUAAGAAGAGUGAUCUUCCACACUGGCAUCACUCAUCGCCACGUUGACACCUCUACAUUCUGUAAAGUCGACGAGCUUAAGAAUUGUCAGUCUGAAAAUGUUUGGCGAGAUGUUUUUCAACCUCUUGCAACAAUACAUCAUAAGUACAGUGAGCCACGAGAAAUUUUCAAUGCAGCAGGGAACUUCUUCAAUAGCGGUGUUUUCCAGAUAGAGCCAUUUGAUACUCUUUGAAAUCAGAGGAAAAGUUCUCAAACUUGAGCAACCACUCAGAUCAAGCAUUUUAAGAGAUGACAAGUUGACAUCGGUUGGAAGAACCUCCAGCCCUGUGCAUUCUUUCAUUUCCAACCUCACCAAUUUUUGGAGAUUCCCAAUUGUAGAAGGAACUGUCACCAAACUUUUGCAAUUAGAGAGAUAUAAAUUCACCAGAUUAGUGGCCUUUGAAAGAUCUGGAAUUUCUGUCAGGUUUCCACAUUCUGACAUAUCCAUCUCCACGAGACUUGCAAGCGACUGAAACAGAAAUUAAAAAAAAAAAUUGUUAUGCUUCAAUCACUUUCAUUUUAAUUUAAUAACUAUACACAUUUAAACAAAAUUAUAAUCAAGACAUAAUUCUGUAUGUAAAUAUAAACCGUGGAAUCACAAGCCAUUUUGACAACUUUAAUUUGGUUAUACGUAAUUAUUUACAACAGAGGUUAAACAAAAAUCAGCAAAUGCUAUAAUAUUAACAAUGUACCUGGACGCCUUCCCAUAGCUUCUCAAGCAUUUGGUUGCCUCUCACUAUGAGACGAACCAGAUCAUUUGGGCGAAAUUCACAUGGCAUACAUCUCACAAGGCAGGCGAGAUAAUCAAGACCAGGGAGAUUCUUGUUCCAUAUACAAUUUUCUACGCGGAUCUCAAUUCCAUGUGGCGAAGUAGUUGAAGUUUCCAUUUUAAACACAGGGAAAUUUUUCUCAAAUUAUCGUAAUAAAGGAGACCGAGGUACUCAAGAGAUUCCAAGUUGAGAUGAGUUGGAAAACUCUCUAGCUUUGUGCAACCCCUCAUAUCUAAAUAGAUCAGUUUAAUGGCAUUCUGAAUCGAGGAAGAAAGUGUCACCAAAGAUCUGCAUUCCGAAAGAUUUAAUUCCUCGAGGUUUCUGGCAUUAGAAAGAUCUGAAAUUUCUCUCAAAUAUCUGGAACCAUGCAUAUUCAUCCUCUUGAGGCUUCCAAGUGGCUGAAAACAAAAUAGGGAAAAACAUAAUACACACAUUCAUAAACAUUUCAAAUAGAUUAAUUUUUACCACAGGUCUGUUCUAAAAAUUGACAACUAUUUCAAUGAAGAAUUAAGUACCACAGUUCCUUCCCACAGCUUCUCAAGCUUACUUCCCAUCAUUGUGAGUUGAAUGAGGUAAUCCGCCUUAAAACUAUAAGGCAAACAUUUCAAUGGACACCUAUCCCAGUCUAGCAAUCUGAGUUUAGGGGGCAAAUAAACGAGGCUCUGAGGUAGAUCCAUAUAAUCCCCAGUAACUGAUAGACAUUGGAGAUUACGCAUGCCUUGGAACGAUUUUUCAUCUAUUGGUAAUAGCUCUUUUGAUCGGAAAGCUGUGCAGAAACGUAUUCCAAGAACUGUUUCUGUCCCCUGAAAAAAAUACGAAGUAAACUAGUAUAAUGAUAUAAUCUUUACAAUGGCAACCGUUUUUAUUUUUCUGAGACAUCAAAAGAGCUAGCCACGUUUUAAUUAAGCAGGAGAGGCAACAAUUGUUAAAGUUUAUCAAUCCCCAAAUGACGAUUAAAUUAAUAUAAAGUCAUGCAUUAAAAGGCAUCUGCUAAAAACUUACAGUUUUCUCUGUCAAUACUUCUCAGAGUAUCCUCAAAAUCCGUUAGAAAUCGACGUUUUCCAGGAUUACCCUUGGACUUUGCACGAUCAAUUUCUAUACCCAAUUUCUCUAGCAAAUUGUGCAUCUCUAUAUCUCCAUCCGGUGUAAUACGUAUGAGGGACUUCUCAACCAACAUUGUAACCCCAACAUUAUCUUCAAGUAAAUCGUUGACGUAACUGACUUCAAAACCAUUGAAUAAACACGCGAUGUAAAGGAACAUAUCUUGAUCUUUUUGAUGUAAUCUAUCGUAGCUGACUCUUAAUGUUUUCAUAAUAUCUCCGUUCAAACCAUUUCGGAACCUAGGCAUCAUCUCCAUCCACUCUUCUUUGGUCCUUCGUUUUAAAGACGAACCAAGGACACUGAGACCCAAAGGAAGAUUACCGGCAAGCACUGCAACUUCAAAUGCUAGUGCCUUAAAAUCAUCAGGUGGAGAGUUUUCCCCAAAAGCAGAUCGGCAUAACAUCUUAAGAGCAAGAUCUAGAGAUGGGAACUUCACCUCAUAUAAAAGGUCAAUAUCAUGAGCCUUAAGAAGUUGCAUAUCUUGAGUGAUCACAAUAAUUCUGCUUCCAGGUCCAAACCAUUUAGUUUCCCCCACCAAGGUCUUAAGAAACUCUGGAUCAUCCACAUCAUCAAGAACGAUAAGAACUUUCUUCUGAUUUAACAUUUGCUCCACUACACCUAACUUCCCUCCUAUCUUUAUAUCCUUACCAAGAAUUUUUGACAGAAAUAUUUCUUCCCAUUCAGACUUCAUGCUAUAGACGUGAGGUACGAAAGCGUGAAAGUGGAAUUGGCAAAAGAGUUGACUGUAUAGAGCUUUUCCUAUGGUACUCUUACCAAUCCCUGAAGGCCCCCAAAUCCCAACCAUUCUAGCUUCCUUGGAUUCCAAGCACAAUAUUGAAUUCAUUGCCUCUAAAUGAGCUUCAAUUCCGACGAAAUCGCCAAAAGAAUUCGAUGGUGAAAUAAGCUUAUUCGAAACAUCAUUAGCUAUCUUUACAACCAUGGCUGCUUCACUAGGCCUAAUAACAGUAGUCAAAUUGUGUCAAUAAAGAGGCACCCCUAAAGCACACAAUCCAAAAAAAGAAGAAGCAGAUAGCAUAGUUCAGAGAUAAUUAAAAACACACUCAGAGAUAAUGAAAUCAAAAACAAAGUACCCGUUUCGAAGAUCUUCUCCGGCUAUAUUUGUUAUGUCUACUAGAGCUUGCAUCCAUCUUUGUUUCUGAUCCUCUUCUUUGUCCUCGCAUGUCUUUUUAAAAACAUCGCCAAAUUCGCCGGUCUGUUUUCUAACUUCCGAAGGAUCAACGUCGUAAAAAACUGAAAUCACCAAUUGACCCCAAUCAUUUAAGCGAUUGUGGAUCUCAACCAAUUCAUCCAAGCACCAAGUGGAAGAAGCAUAGUUCUUAGAGAAGAUCACGAUUGAGAUCCUUGCUUCUCUAAUCGCUGAUAUUAGCUCAGGGGCUAUUGUACGGCUUCGUUCGAUGCCAUGAUCCAUGAAUGUAUUGAUUGAUCUGCGGUCGAACGCCUCGAGUAGAUUGCUGAGGAACGUCUUGCGAACAUCUACCCCACUGAAGCUUGGGAAAACAUCGUAUCUCCGGCUGCAAGAAGAAGAAGCCGCCGCCAUGGAAUAUGAUGAGGAGAAGAUAAGUACAGUAAAUCGAAUACACAGUGAUUAUUGAUUAGAGUGAUUACUGUGAGGCCGGUCCUUAAGGGUGGGAUGCGCAAGGAAACUUCUUAUUUUUUGCCCAUAGGCCAUAAAUAUAAAAAUGUAGCGAAAUGUUUGUAAUGAGGUUCGAACCAAGGCCAAUGAAGCAUUUAAAACCUGAUUUCAAGUAUUCAACCGCUCAACUACAAGUUAUGAUGCCUCUUAAAUCAAUAUUAGAUUUAUUUUGGUGUCCAAGGUCUUUGCUUAUUGUAAAAAGGACAGCUUAUCGUAAACAUGUUGAGUGGGGAAUUCAGUCUUUGUUUCCCUAUACUUACAUGCAUAGAAACUAGGAGAAUUUGUAAGUAUAUCAAUUAUGAGGAUUUUAAUUCACAUAAUAAUAUAGUGAAAACAUUAACUAUCUAGUUUGUUAAAAAAAAAACUCUUUUAGCUUUCUAGAGUUGUGUGGUGUGGUGUGGAUGGACAGUGGAGUGAAGAUUUCUAGAAACUCUCUGCGUUUUGUGUUGAGUUCUCCUCAUUUUCUCAACUCCAUCCCCUUCAAGUACCUUGACACGUACAAUUCCUGAAACAACAACACAAAAAUCUAUGUGAAUUCAGCUCUCACGAUCAUCUAUCAAAUCACUUUAUCAGUAAUUUACAUUUUAAAGUUAUAUCAUGUUCUGGACUAACAAUGAAAACCAUUUUAUGUGAUAUUUGAAUCCAUAUGCUGGUGGCAAAGAAGAACAGAGCAUUUGUAUUAUGUCACACAAAUUCAGCAAUCAAGUGAAUGGAGAGUUUAUAAGGGAUGUAAGAUGAGAUUUUACCUCAGGCAAAGAGGUUUCACGAUUGCAGCUUGGCUACUUCCCAUAAGUCUUCACUGCCUCGUAGUUACUCAAUGUCCUUUAUGUUCCUAGGAAUCACAAGGUCGUUGUAAGACGGCAAGAACGAAAAAAGAGUGGAAUCGACUGAUGGUGUAUUAUAUUUUUAUUUAUUAUUAUUAGGUCAUUGGUGCAAAUAUCUGAAGCAAACCUGCACAAACCAAUUCAGCUAAAAUAAGCACCAGAGAAAUUAGCUUUCACAUCCUAAAUGUGACAAUGACUAGCUCACUUGACCUCAGGGUCGUGAUUGAGUUUGGUGGUUGUGGCCGGUGAGUAGGACGGGUGGAAGCUGGUUUUGUAUGUAUGGGGCAGUGGUGGUGCUGAGUUAUGUUGUAAUCACUGUUUUUUACUGUGAGUGUAGGAAACGCCAUGGUAGCAGUGAUGCAUUUAAUGCUGAUGAGGUUGCUAUUUAAAAAUUUAGUUCCAACACUUUUUUGUUGUUGAUAAUUCUCUUGUGAAAUACAUUUUUCUUUACCGAAUUUAUUCAUUGAUUUAAAGAGAGAAAAAUAACCUUUGGUAACAUACACGUAGAGAGAUAUGUGUGUUUCAAAAGACAAGACUGUUAUAUUUACAUCUUUUCAGGAAAGCGAAUUUUUCAAAGAAGCAAAACAGAGAGAAGUAAGAACAGAGUGGUUCUGCUGUUCUGGACAUGGAACCAUAAAAGUUUUCUAGUUGUCAGUGCUCCAUCAUCUGCAGGAGAAAAUGGCUUGUGUGAAAAACUAAGAAAUCGUCUUGUCAUUACCAGUAUAGUCAUGGUCGAUCCCAUGUUCAUUAUAAAACAGAGUUGUAAUACGUUUCAGGUUACCUUAACAAUGUGAUAAGCUGUAGAGACGGCUAAGGAUCCAGGAAAGGAAUCUUAACAAUGUGAUGGUGUGAAUUCAGUCAAGGCAGAUCUUAACUGUUCAGGGUCAGCAGUGAAAGGUGUCGUCCCCAUCAGACCAUACGUUUUAUUUAGGCCCUUGAUGCAAAGAUCUGAAGCAAACCAAUUCAGUCAAGAACAGCCCCAGAGAAUGAGCUUCCCAUCCUAGAUGUUCUAGUGAGUAGUUCAGGCCUACAACUUUCACUCUUCUCGAUAUAAUUAAAGAGUGCAGCGGCAUAGGGGAACAGCAGCGACAUAUUUUCUCAUCGACGUAGGAUAGCUGGAUGAUACUUCAUGGUUUGGAAGUGGACCAGACAAUGUCUCCUGUAGAAAGUUUAAAAGCUCUUUCCUUCACCCGAAGGAUUGUUCCUUAUGCUGGUUACAUCUUUGGCCGAAGUUAGGCCAAAAACGCUUCUGCCUUUUGGCUAUUGAAUCAGCGGAUAUGCAAAUGUUGCUGAUUCUUGUUGUUUUCUGUACCCAAAGUCUGAUUUAUUCAUUGCUAAUAAAGAGAAAAACAACCUUUACUAACAUAAACAUUGAGAUCUAUGUUUUAAAAAGGCAAGACUAUUUUGGGUAGUACCUGCACUCAAGCAGGUACGCUCCCAAAUUCAAUGUCUUUCUUAAAAAUAGAAUAUGUUUUUACAAAACAAAACAAUGCCAAAGAUGUUUUUCCAGAAUAUGCUAAAGUAUGGCUUUCUGAAACAUUUAUUCUUUCAGGAAAAGUGAAAUGUUCAAAACAAACGCAGAGCUGGAUAAUGUAACGGACUUUGGUUCUCCUAAAGAUCUUCAUCAUCUGCAGUUAAUUAUCAUUAUCAUUAUAGUCAUAGUCGAUCCCAAGUUAUCCUAAAACAGAGUAAAACAGAAUGAUAAGAUGCUUCAGUUACCAGAAUCAGUAGACAAGAUAGGAAUUUCUUCAUCUUGUUCUUCAGUUAUCAUGUAAUCAACACACAAAGCUUCCCCCUCUAGAGAUGUUGAUGAUGAUGCUUCUCCCUGCCCUAACGAAAGCUCCAUAUUUAGAGCGGCCAAUCCUGAGUCCGCUACAAUUUGGCCAUAGGGUAAGUUGAUAUAUUCUUCAGAUGUCCCCGAUGUCAUCUGCAUUAUAAAUCAAACGAUCGAUUCUAUUAAAUAGUCUGUCCCUAUGGUGUUUCGAUCCUGAAAAAUCAAACCAAAAGUCAAAAGAUAGCUUUAUAAUUUUCAGCUCUAAUCAAAAGUCAAAAGAUACCCCCAUCCGCUUCUCGCUUCUCGUAGUCUGUUGGUUGUACUCUGUUUCUUGAUAGACAUACAAGAGUCGUACACCGCAUUCUUUGAUCCUAUUGGAGCAACAAAAUUUAAACUCCAUUCAGACCAGAUCUUGAAGGAACAGAAAAACAGAUGAUCCGUCUUACAAAACUGCAGGUCUGCAUCUUCAAAAAAUGAUUUCUGAUACUGUUUGCCAUUGAAGCCAACAUUUACCUUCAAGGAUGGAUAAAAACCCUUGCCCUCGGAGGGAGGUUCAACCACGACGCAAGCCUUAAAUGGAAAGAAGUAUUGAGAAAGAGAGCUCUGAGGUAAAGUGACAGUUAGGGAAUCUCCAUAAGCUCGAUACGUGAAAUACUUAGGGAUUUCUCCACCUGGUAAGGCCACAUGCUUGAAGCAUGAUCGUAGGAUAAGUUCUCGCGCAUCUCUUUCCAAUUUGAAGCAAUUGCAGAAGCUAAAGGAUUCCCUACGUAAGCGCCAAUCUACGACGUAGUUCUUAUAAUCAUCAUCAUACAACGCAUCCCAGAAACGUUCACAUGUAUAUUCAAUGUUUUCAGAUAAUGGUACACAAGAAACGUGAUCUUCCAUUGUCGCUACCACAGUUGCAUCACUCAACGCCUUGAUGACACCUCUACAGUCUGUAAAGUCGGCGAACAUUAGACUUCUCAGUCUGAAAAUGUUUGGGGAGAUGUUUUUCAACCUCUGGCAACAAUACAUCAGUAGUACACGGAGCCUCGUGAAAUCCUCAAUGCAGCAGGGAACUUCUCCAAUGGCGGUGUUUUCCAGAUAGAGCCAUACAAUAUUAGUUGAAAUCAGAGGAAAAGUUCUCAAACUUGAGCAACCACUGAGAUCGAGGAUACCCAGAGAUGACAAGUUGACAUCGGUUGGAAGAACCUCCAGCCCUGUGCAUCUUUUCAUGUACAAACGUCUCAAAUUUUGAAGAUUCCCAAUUGUAGAAGGAAGUGUCACCAAACUUUUGCAGUUGUUGAGUAUCAAAGACUCGAGCUUGGUGGCCUUUGAAAGAUCUAGAAUUUCUUCAAUGGCGGUGUUUUCCAGAUAGAGCCAUUUGAUACUCUUUGAAAUCAGAGGAAAAGUUCUCAAACUUGAGCAACCACUGAGAUCGAGGGUUUCGAGAGAUGACAAGUUGACAUCGGUUGGAAGAACCUCCAGCCCUGUGCAUUCUUUCAUUUCCAACCUCACCAAUUUUUGGAGAUUCCCAAUAGUAGAAGGAAGUGUCACCAAACUUUUGCAGUUGUUGAGAUAUAAAUGCUUCAGAUUGGUGGCCUUUGAAAGAUCUGGAAUUUCUGUCAGGUUUUCAGAUUCUGACAGAUCCAUCUCUUCGAGACUUCCAAGCGACUGAAAAAAACAUUAUCGAUGAUAAUCAUUUUAAUUUUAUACCUAUAUAUGUUUAAAAUUAUAAUUAAACAUUAUUACGUAUGUAUGUAAGACAUAACCGUGGAUCGACCACAAGCCAUAAAAACAAAUUUGGGUAUACUUAAUUAGUUAUAUAACAGAAGGUAAACAAAAAUCAGCAUAGCAUUAACAAUGUACCUGGAUGCCUUCCCAUAGCUUCUCAUGCUUGUAGCACCUCACAUUGAGAAAAACGAGAUAUUCUGGGCGAAAUUCACAAGGCAUACAUCUCAUAAGGCAGUCGAGAUAAUCUAGUCCAGCAGGGAGAUUCUUGUUCCAGAAACAAUCUUCUACCACGAUCUCAUUUCUCCCUUCCGGAAAGUCAACGUCUGAACAUCCCAUUUUGAUUGCUGGGAAAUUUCUCAAAUUCGGGCAUCCAGUGAGAUUGAGGUACUCGAGAGAUUCCAAGUUGAGAUCGGUUGGAAAACUCUCUAGCUUUUUGCAAUCACUAAUAUCUAAAUAGAUAAGUUUAAUGGCAUUCUGCAUCGAGGAAGGAAAUGUCACCAAGGAUUCGCAUUUACAAAUAUCUACUUCCUCGAGGUUUAUGGCUAAAGAAAGAUCUGGAAUCUCUUUCAAAUAUUUGGAACCACGCAGAAACAUCUGCUUGAGUCUUCCAAGUGGCUAAUAACAAAAUAGGGGAAAAGAGAGUACACACGUUAGUGAACAUUUUAAACAGAUUCAUUUUAGUUUUUCUAACAGAUUUAUGUUUAGAAAUUGAUCACUAAUAGAAUUAGUACCUGAGUUCCAUCCCACAGCUUCUCAAGGUCACUAUUCUCCAUUCUGAGUUUAACCAGAUACUCAACCUUAAAAUUAGAAUGCAAACGCUUCAAUGGACAAUUAUUCCACAAUAGCAAUCUGAGUUUACUAGGGAAAUAAACGAUGCCCUGAGUGCCUUCCAUACGUGAGCAAUCAACUGAUAGAUAUUCGAGAUUACACAUGCCUUCUAAUGAUUUUAAAUCUAUUAAUAGCACCCCCGAACAAUAUAACGUCCUCAGUUUAAUGGCAUUCUGAAUCGAGGAAGGAAGUGUCACCAAAGAUUCGCAUUCAGAAAGAUUUAAUUCCUCGAGGUUUAUGGCUAAAGAAAGAUCUGGAAUUUCUUUAAAAUAUUUGGAAUACCACAAAUUCAUCUUCUUGAGACUUCCAAGGGGCUGAAAACAACAUAUGGAAAAAGAGAAUACACACGUUCACAAUUUUUUUAAAACAGAUUCAUUUGAAGCUUUUCUAACAUAUAUAUGUUCAUAAAUAUACCACAGUUCUAUUCUAAAAACUGACAACUAAUAAAAUUUAUAAUUCGUACCAGAGUUCCUUCCCACAGUUUCUCAAGCUUACUAUUCUUCAUUAUGAGUUUAACUAGAUACUCCGCCCUAAAAGUAGAUGGCAAAGACUUCAACGGACAAUAAACCCAUUCUAGCAAUCUGAGUUUAAGGGGCAAAUAAACGAGGCUCUGAGGUAGAUCCCCAUCUGACCAAUAACCAAUUUCUAGAUAUUGGAGAUUACGCAUGCCUUUGAAUAAUUUUUCAUCUAUUAAGAACGACCUUGUCGUAAGAUAUCCCGGGUGUGGCAAACGUAUUCCAAGAAGAAUUUCUGUCCCCUGAAAAAAAAUCCGAAGAAAACUAAUAUAAUCUUAACAAUCGCAACCUUUUUUUAUUUUUCUGACACAUCAAAGCUACGUUUUAAUUACGCAUGAGGCAACAAUUGCUUAAGUUUAUCAAUCCCCAAAUUACGAUUAUACUAGAUAUUGACCCGCGGUGUACCGCGGGUGGAUAUGUUCAUAGAAAAGUUAUACAUAUUUUUUAUACGAAUUAUUAUUUUUAUAUAAAUAAUAUUUUCUUAACACAUAAUUUUUAUUUAUGUAAAUCUUGGAUAAUUCAUGUUUUAUGUUCUCAUAUUUGUUAGUUUAAUAUUAAAAUUCAGUAUUUGUUUUUUUGGUUUGGGUUUUUUAGAGAUAAUAAAGAUCUAAAAUUCAUGUUUGGGGUCGAUAUUUUUAUCAGAAAAUUAAAUAUUUUUAUUUUAAUUAAUAUUAUUUAUAUAUAUAAUAUAUUCAAGAAGUACAUCAAAGGCCUAUAUUUUUAUUAAAUAAAAAAUAAUAUUUUUGUCUUUAAAAUGAUCUAUAGAUAUAUGCUAUUGUUUUUUUAUGUAUGAUACUAUGAUACACCUCUGUAUGAUUUUUAUAACUAAUUUUUUUUAAAAAAAUUAAAAUUUUUUUUAGUGUUUAAAAUUGUAUAAUUGUAUUUUGAUUGUUAAUUUUAGGAUUUCAUCCAUAGUAUAUCAUCCCGUAUCAAUAUCGAUCCAAACUCAUCCCACCAUAUAACCUCGUCCCGUGAAAUUAAAACUUCAUAAAAUUUUAAAAUCAUUAAUAUUUUAAAAAAAUUUAUAGACUUUAACUUUUAAAAAAGUUUAAAAAUUUGUAAUACUUAACUUUUAAUAAAGUUUCAAAAUAUAUAAUAUUUUAAAACUUUAAAACUUUUACUUAUUUAAAAUAAAGAACCAAAGUAAAACGAAAGCUCCUGCUCUUUCGUUUUCAGAAUCACUUUGGUCUUUUUUAUAGUAUAACUCUUAACGAUUUCCUCAUUUUUAAGCAAUGUGAGACCUUUAAAACUUAUUUUUUUUCAUCGAUGGAGUAUUAUAUGUUUGUUUUAAGAAAUUUAAAUUUCAUCAGAUGCAAAAAAAAUCUAAUAUUUUAUUAACUAUAUGUAUUUUAUAUAUAAAGUAAAAAAAAAUAGAUAUAAAAACAAAUAUAGUGACAGAAAAAUUAUAUAUUUAUAUUUAAUGUCGAUAUAUAGAUUUUAGAAAAUUAGCCUUAAUCGAAUAUAGUUCAAUAAAGAAAGAUUUAGUUAAGGAUAAAAAUUUAGGAAAGAGUUAAUUCAACUAAUUAAUGCAAUUAAGCUAAUUGUAAUUUUUUAGUUAUAAAGUAUUUGAUUGAGAUUAAAUUUGUAAGGACUAAUAUUGAAAAUAGUAAAUAGGUGAGGGAUUUUUGGCCAAAAACCCUACCAAAAAUGUAUAUGUAGAUUGACAUAAAGUCAUGCAUUACAACGUUUAAGGAGAUGCGAAAAACUUACAGUUUUCUCGGCCAAUACUUCUUGAAUAUCCUCAAAAUUUGUCAGAAAUUGACGUUUUCCAGGAUUACCCUUGGACUUUGCACGAUCAAUUUCUCUACCCAAUUUCUCUAGCAAAUUGUGCAUCUCUAUAUCUCCAUCCGGUGUAAUACGUAUGAGGGACUUCUCAACCAACAUUGUAAGCCCAACAUCAUCUUCAAGUAAUUCUUUGACGUUACUGACUUUAAAACCAUUGAAGAAACAUGCAAUGCACUUAAAUAACUCUCUAUUUUUUUUAUUUAACCUAUCGUAGCAGACUCUUAGUGUUUCCUCAAUUUUAUCAUCUGAGUCAUUUCGAAGCCUAGGCAUCAUCUUCACCCACUCAUCUUUGUCCCUUCCUUUUAGAGAUGAACCCAAGACACUGAGACCCAAAGGAAGACUACCAGCAAGCUCGGCAACUUCAAAUGCUAGUGCCUUAAAAUCAUCAGGUGGAGAGUCUUUCCCAAAAGCAUAUUGGGAUAUCAUCUGAAGAGCAAGACCUUGAGAUGGCAGCUUCACCUCAUAUACAAGGUCAAUCUCAUGAGCCUUGAGAAGUUGCCUAUCUUGAGUGAUCACAAUUAUUCUGCUUCCAGAUCCAAACCAUUCAGCUUUUCCCACUAAGGUCUUAAGAAACUCUAGAUUAUCCACAUCAUCAAGAAGGAUAAGAACUUUUUUGUGCUUUAAUCUUUGCUCCACCACACCAAAAUGAUCUAUCUUUAUGUCCUUUUGACCUAAGAUUUCCGAGAGAAGUUCUUUUUGCCAACUCAACUUCAUGCCAGAGACGUCACUACCGCUGGUGCUUUUGUAAGUUACGAAAGCGCGAAGGGGGAAUUGGCUAGAGAGUUGACUGAAAAGAGCUCUUCCUAUGGUACUCUUACCAAUCCCUGACUGUCCCCAAAUCCCGACCAUUAUUUUAGCUUCUUUGGAUUCCAAGCACAGUAUUGAUUUUAUUGCCUCUAUAUGAUCUUCAAUUCCGACUAAGUCACCAAAACCCUUUGGCGGAUGAAAAAGUUUAUUCGAAACAUCAUUGGCUAUCUUUUCAACCAUAUGCGCAUCAUUAGGCCUAAUAACAAUAGUCAAAUGUGUCAAUAAAGAGGCACCCUUAAAAGCACAUCCAAGUCUAUGCAAAAAAUAUUGUAUAGUUCUACGAUAAUUAUAAACACACACAUAAUUCAAAAAAAAACACACACAUAAAUAAUGGAAUCAAAACAACAUACCCGUUCCGAAGAUCCUCCCCGGCAAUAUUUGAUAUAUCUGUGAGAGCUUUAACCCAUCUUUGUUUCUGAUCUGCUGGUUUGUCCUCGCAUGUCUUUUUAAAGACCUUUCCAAAUUCACCGAUCUGUUUUCUAACAUGAGAAGGAUCAACGUCGUAGAAAACCGGUAUCACCUUUUGUCCAAAAUAUUUAGAGCAAUUGUCGAUUUCAACCAAUUCAUUCAAGCACCACGUGGAAGCAGCAUAGUUCUUAGAGAAGAUGACAAUUGAGAUCCUCGCUUCUCUAAUCGCCGAUAUAAGCGCAUCGGCGAUUAUGCAGCUUCUCUCGAUGACGUGAUCCAUGAAUGUAUUGAUUGAUCUGCGAUUGAGCUGCUUAAGAAGAUGGCUGAGGAAAUUCUUGCGAACAUCUUCCCCACUGAAGCUUGGAAAAAUGUCGCUGCCAGAAGAAGAAGCUGCCGCCAUGAAAGAUGAUGAGUUUGAGAUAGAAUAUCUUUAAAAGAAGUAAAUCAGCAAUACAUAAUGAUUAGUGUGCAGGAAGAGGAGAAAUCGUGCAUAGAAGACUUAUGCUGUGCGAAACGGAGUACCUUAUAUUCGCUGGGAAACGUGCUGUUAUGUACAAGAUUAGUAAUUUUUUAGUGGUUAAUAUCAAAUCUCCUAACAAGAGUAGGGUGACGACAGGCACAAUUAAGAUAAUAAAUAACUAGAUAACACAGAAACUUCGCCUUUCAUUCGUCGAAGAGUUGCAUAGAAGACUUAUUAUACAAGAUGUUUAUUUUACUGGUUAAAAUCAAAUCCCUUAACAAGAGAGUAUGGUGAGACACACCUAAUAUAUAAUAACAAUUUAACACAGAAACUUCGCCUUCCUUUUCUUGAAGAUUUGCAUAGAAGACUUUGUUCAAGAUAUAUUUUUUUAGAGGUUAAUUGAUAUCAAUUUUCCUAACAAAGUAUGAUGUAUUAAGACAUAAUAAUAACUUAAUAAGACAGAAACUUCGCCUUUCUUUCGUUGAAGACUCGCAUAGAAGACUUGCUAGUUGCUAUACAAGAUAUUUAUUUUACAGGUUAAAAUCAAAUCCCCUAACAAGAGACUAUAGUGAGAGACACAAUCAAGUUAUAACAAAUUAACACAGAAACUUCCUUCCUUUCCUUGCAGGCUUGCAUAGAAGACUUACUGUACAAGUUAUAUUUUUGUAGUGUAUGAUGACAGACACAAUAAUAAAUACAAAGAAACUUCGCCUGGCAUAGAAGACUUACUGUACUUCUAGUGGUUAAAAUAAAAUCGCCCUGAAAGAACUCAUAACUUUUUAGGCUACGUCAGCCGAGAAAAUUGCGACAGGAGAGGCGACUAGGGUUUUUUUCUUUUGCCGCACGCGAAGGGUUCCUAGCAGUCAGCCACCGAAUCUAUGUUCAGAAGGAGAAAGGGAAUUAUACAACGAUGUUCCAUCGCCAUGAAAUUUGCUUGAAGAAACUGAUAACAGUAGUAUCAUACUUAUAGAAGAAGACAUCUGGAAAGUUCCAAAUUUGGAGCCGUCAAGCUUGUGUUUGCUACUGUUUUACCACAGAGUAAGUUGGAAGGUUCUUCAUAUGUUCUUACCGUAAUCUGCAUAAUAAAAUCAAAUCUAUUAAAUUCCUUUGGUCUAUUUUGCAGGUGAUCCUGAAAAUGAAUCAAGAGUUAGAUAUGUAAUUUUCCGUUCAAUAAUUCAAAGCUUCACCCGCUUUAGCUUCUUGCUUCUCCCAUUGACUAUGUCACUUUCUCUAGAAUGUUGGUUGUUCUCAGUUUGAGCGCUCGUACCACUACCAUCCUCAGAUGGAGAGGCAUCUAAAUGCCGUACGCUGAAUUUUUUUAUCCUCUUAAACGACAAGUUUGCGUGUCGUGGUCAAGCCCAAAUUUGACACAAGAACAAGCAUUGCUAUGAUAUUCAAACUUGAAUUUCACAUCGUUGUAGUCCAAUUCAUAUGGAUAACCAAAGACUUCUUCUGAAGGGCAAAACUCAGAGCGGAACACAACCAUAAUGUACUAGGUAAGAUUUUUGAAUUAGAUUGUGCUACUUUGAAUUCCGAUGGUGUUUUUUGCAGCGUUCUAUUCUUCUAAUCAUUAUAUACUUUGUAAGAAAUAAGUAGUUUAUAAUCAAUUCUUUGCGAAAAAAUUAGUAUAGCAAGCAAAAUAAUUUACGUUACUAGAUUUCAAAUCCCAAUUUGAGCGGGAAGUCCAUCUAGUUUGAAGCUAAAAGGCUUUAUGACAAAUAUACUCUAACAAGCUUGCAGGCCAAGCAAAUCAUAUUAGAAGCAAAAGAAAGGUCGAGAAAAUAUCUUAGGAACAUCAUUAAUGAAUGAGUUUAAGGAGAAUGUUACCUGGAUUACUUCCCAUAACUUCUCAAGCUUGCUACCUGGCAUUGUAAGCUCUGCGACACAUUCUGCAUGACAUUUAGACGGUAAAUAUUUUAUUGGACAAUCAAUCCAAACGAGUUCAGUGAGACCAAAGAUAUUCCCAAUAAAGAAACAAUCUAUGUCUUCUCUGAUUGCAGUUUCGUUUAGAUGGAGCUCUGAAAUGUUCUUUGAAAUUCGAGGGAAACAUCUCAAACUUGAACAUCCCCUGAGAUCGAGGUGUACUCUAGAGAUUCCAAGUUAACGCCGGUUGGGAGAACUUUUAGAUUUUUGCAUCCUUGCAUUUCCAACCGCCUCAGUUUAUUGAGAUUCCGAAUUGAAGAAGGAAGCAUCACUAAACUUUUGCAAUCGUUAAGUUCCAAGUGGUCAAGAUUGAUGGCCGUUGAAAGAUCUGGAAAUUCUUUCAGGUUUUCACUUCCUGACAAAUCCUUCCUCACCAGACAGACUCCUUCCCACAACUUCUCAAGCUUGCUAUUCUCCAUUGUGAGUUUAAUCAAAAUUUCAGCCCUAAAAUUGAAACACAUACUCGUCAACGGAUAUUCAUCCCAAUAUAGCAAUCUGAGUUUUCGGGCCAAAUAAAUGAAUCCCUGAGGUAAACACAAUCUGCUUUCACCAGUCUCUAGCGAUCGACAACUCCUUGUAAAAUUUUAGAAAUGUGAGAUUACACAUUCCUUUGAAGAUUGUCCAUUUACAAACAAUCUAUUUCUGAGAUUACACUCAUCGAUUUCUGUUGUGUUGAAAGACAUGCCUAGCACAUUUUCAGUUCCUGAAAAAAAAACAUUAGUAUUUUACAACGGUCACAAUAAUCUAUUACGUUAUAGAUGACUCUCUUCGAUUCAUAUGGAGUAGUGUACUCAAACAUGAAAAUCAACUGACCCACCUUCCUUCUUAGUGGGUCCGCCACUGAUCAACAAGCAAGUUCUUGAUAUAAUCAACUUUUUGAUCAUUAAGUAAACACGCAAUGUAAAGGAAGACUUCUUCUUACUCCUUCAUUGUGCCUUCUCAGAACAGGUUUGGUUUCUGGUUCUUCACAGACUAGGAUUACCACAAUGUACUUUUGUUGAUUGGUCUACUGUCAUCACUUGGCUCCUGACCAAAUCCCCUUCCCUAUCAAAUGCUUUGAAACGCAUUUCUGCCCAAGCCACUAUCUACCUGCUCUGGCGAGAAAGGAACAAUCGCUUACACAAUGAUCUUUCCUCUUCGGUCUCUGUGAUCUUUGGUCAGAUUGAUAGGAAUAUAAAGGAUACUCUUCUUGCUCGUCAGUACAGGAAAGGUUGUGGGAGACUUCUAUCCCAAUGGUUUUCUUAUAGUUAACAUAUCUAUUCUAUUGAUCGAUGUUUCAAUCAUGGCUUUUUAAUUUUUUUUGGGCCUUUGAAACUGGCUGCCUUUUGGCAUUGUAAAUAACAUUUCCACUUUCCUUCUAAGGUAAUAUAUAUUCACAAGUUAUCAAAAAAAAAAAAAAAAGGGAAGACUUCUUUAUCUUUGUCAUCUAACUUAUCGUAGCUGACUCUUAAUGUUUUCUCAAAUUUUCCGUCUAGACCAUUUCGAACCCUAGGCAACAACUCCAUCCAUAGUCCUUGUCCUUUCCUCUUAAUGAAGAAACCAAAAGAUUGAGACAUAAAGGAAGAUUACCGAAAAGUUUUGCAACUUCACGAGUUAAAUUCACGAAACCAUCUGGUGGAGCGUUUUGCCCAAAAACACAUCGACAAAACAUUUGUAGAGCCAAAAUUAUAUUUCAGAUGGAAAAUUCAGUUCAUAAACAAGGUCAAUCUUAUGAGACUUGAAAAAGUUUUUUUUAUCUUUACUUAUCACAACAAUUCUGCUUCCAAUCCCAAACCAUCCAGUUUGUGCCACCAAGGUCUUUAAUAGCUCAAGAUCAUCAACAUCGUCAAUAAUUAUAAGAACUUUCUUGUGCUUUAACCUUUGUUCCACCGCACAUAAAUGCAAAACCUUUAUGUCCUUUUGACAUAAAAUUUCUGAUAAAACCUGUUCUUCUCGGUUGGUUUAUAAGUUACGAAAGCGCGAAGGGGGAAUUGGCUAGAGAGUUGACUGAAAAGAGCUCUUCCUAGGGUACUCUUACCAAUCCCUACCAUUCUAGCUUCUUCAGAUUCCAAGCACAACAAUGAACUCAAUCUCUCUAAAUGAGCUUCAACACCAACGAAAUCACCUAAAUCACUCGAUGGUGUUAUGAGCUUAUUCGGAACAUCGUUGGAAAUUGUUUCAAUCAUGUUUGCUUCAUUACACCUAAAAAUCAAUACUCAAAUGUCAGCAAUGAACACUACAAUCGGAGUCUUAAGCCUAAUCAAACAAAAAUUUGAAAAAAAAAAAUACCAGUUUCGAGAAUCCUCUCCAGCCAUAUUUGCCACAUCUGCUAGAGCUUUCCUACACCUUUGUUUCUCAUCAUCUGUUUUGUUCUUGCAUGUCUCUUCAAAGACCUUUCCAAAUUCUCCGGUCUGUUUCCUAACAUCAGAAUGAUCAACCUCGUAGAAAAUCGGAGUCACCAUUUGAUCCAAGUUUUUAAAGCACUUGUGGAUCUCAACCAAUUCAUUCAAGCACUAGGUGGAAGAAGCAUAUAUACUUGUUAGAGAAGACGACGAUUGAGAUCCUCGAUUCUCUUAUAGCCAAUAAAAGCUCUGGGCCGAUUGGGCGGCUUCUCUCGAUCUCAUGGUCGAUGUGUAUUGAUUGAUCUGCGAUCAAGCUUCUUAAGUAGAUGGAUGAUGAAUGAAUUACGGACAUCUUCAUCGCUGAAGCUCGGAAAAACGACGUAUCUCUUGCUGCGAGAAGAAGAAGAUACUCUAAACCUCGACAAUGACUAUACGACUGGGGAUGAGAUGGAUCUGGAUGAGGAGAAUGAAGAUGAAGAACAAGCAGGCCUAGAUUCACUUGCUAGUACAGCUAAUAACAAGGUGAAAGGUAGACGUAGACGUAAGCGUUUCAAAGUGCUUAAUAAUUAGAGAUAAUUUUAGUACCACAAGGAUAAUUUUAGUACCAUUGGAACUAAACUGGAAGAUCAUUAUGAGUGAUGUGCAAUGCAAAUACUGCAAUCAUACUUAUUGCUUAGACCUACGUAGAAGUGGUACAACUACUAUGUUGCGUCACAUGAGAGUUUGCUCAAAGACUCCUGGAAGUACACCUGCAACUGGAAUAAAAAGCUUGAUAUGAUGGUGUUUAGGGAGAUGAUUGGAUUAGAUUAGCAAUAAUUGAGCAUGAUUUGCCUUUUUCUUUUGUUGAGGACAAAAUAAUUAGAGAGACAUUUCUCUAUGCUAAUUCUAGCAUAUAAUUUUGGAGUAGGAACACCGCAACUUUUGAUUUCAAGUAUUGGACCGAGCUAAUGGACAUGGACAGUCCAUUUCGACAGCUCUAGCUUUGGAUGAGACUUGAUGGUUUGGAAUUGGAGUUGACUCCUUCACAAAGUUUUAAUAGUUCUUCCUUGCAUGACACGGAAAAGGCUAUCUCCUUUUUUCACCACCUGAAGGGUUGCUUCUUGUACUGGUCACAUGUUUGGCCGAGGUUAAGUCACACGCUAUUGAAUCAGCGAUCCAACACUUUUUUUUUUUUUUGUUGUUGUUGUUAAUUCUCUUGUGAAUUUGCAAUAUACAAUUUUGUUUACCCAAAUUCUAAUUUAUUCUUUGCUUUAAAACAAAAAAAAACUUUGCUCACAUACAUGUUAUCAUUAUCGUCGAGAUAUAUGUUUUUUUAAUAAAGACAAAGACUAUUUUGGGUAGUACCUGACCUGAGUCAAGUAUGUAAAACCCUAAGAUCACAAAUUCAAUGUCUUUUCGACUAAAACAGAUAAACAGUACGGUACAAUACAAAACAUCCCAAUGAUAUCUUUCCAGAAUAUAAUGUGCUAUGGCUUUUUGAAAGAUGUAUUUAUUCUUUUAGGAAAAGCAAAAUUCUCAAAGAAGCAAAGACAGAUAAGUAAGAACAGAGUGCUUCACUUUCAGCUAAAGAAGAAAUUACAAACAUUUUCAUCAGGCUCCGGAGUUGGAGACCUAAAUGGAUUCUAGACUUCUGGUUCUCCAAAAGCUCUCCGUUACCUGAAGAAAAGAUGGCUUGCGUUAAAGCUAUGUAAUCGUCUUGUCAUUAUCAGUAUAGUCAUGGUCAAUCCCAAGUUGAUCCUAAAACAGAACAAAACAGAACUGGAAGAUGUUUUGAUUACAUUAAAAAGUUGAUAAGCUCUGGGAACAACGAAGGAUCCGCGGUAGGUGUUUCUAUAUAUUGUUGUUCAGUUAUCAUUGGAUCAAUACACAAAACUUCUUCCUCUAGACAUGGUUGGGAAAGACACAACGAUGCUCCAUCAACAUGAACGUUGCUAGAAGAAACUGAUGAAAACCUGGGUGGAAGAACUCCCCUGCCAAUAACGAAAGCUCCAGAUUUGUAGCGGUCAAUUCUGUGUCCGCUUCUAUUUGGCCACUUGGUAAGUUGAUAUAUUCUUCAGAUGUUCCUAUUAUCAUCUGCAUUAUAAACCAAACUAUCUAUCCUACGAAACUGUUCAUCCUCCAAAAAAAUCAAGAGACAGCUAUGCAACUUUCAGAUCAAAACUGGCAAAAGGCUUACCCGCAUCCGCUUCUUGCUUCUCCCAGUCUCUACUACAACAUCAACUUUUUCUACAGACUAUUGGUUGUCCUCUUUUUCAGGAGAGACAUUCAAAAUUCGUACACCGCAUCCCUUUAUGCUCUCCUUGGGAAUAAACACAAAUUCCAAAUUGUUGUCUGAUUUAGAUGGAACGUCUAUAGGCGGGAACUUGAAGGAACCCAAAACCAUAUGAUCCGUAUUACACAACGUCAUCGUACCAUGAAAUACUGUCUCCCAAAUAUGUAGGAACUUCUCCACCUGGUAGGACCGUCUUGACGUAUGAUCGUAGGAUGAGUUCCUGCGCAUCUCCAUCCAAUUUGAAACAAUUAAGGAGAUAGAAAUAUUCUCUUCUCAUCAAGUCGGCCAUUUGAUGGCCGUGCUUGUUUAAAUUUACUGUCAAUGGUUUCUAGGAAAUGCGAAAGCGUUAAAGAAGCAACCACAAGGAUGUAAGAACAGAGUACUUCUGCCUUCAGCCUUCAGCUAAAGAAGAAAUUGCAAACAUUAUCAUGCUCUGGAGUUGGACUCUUUAACGGAUUCUGGUUUUUUUUAAGUAGUAACCCCUGCAGGAAAUUAUUGCUUUGAUAAGCCAAACUCCACUAAGAGCUUGAUGCGCUUGAUGAGCUUGAUGACCUGUCCAACAAGCAAGAAAAGAGUCAAUGUUGAGAGUUGAAAGUAUAUAUAGAGUCUCUAAUCUCUGAGAGGUUAUUCAAUUAGUGAAUUGGUGUGUUUGUUAAGACUCCUGCAUGAGUCUCUUGGGUUGAGGAUUCAGAGCCCGAAACUCUGCAAUUCUCUUCAUUGUGUGACAGAUUCUUUGAUAGAUCAAUAAAAGAUUGCUUGUUUAUUCUUGUCAAGCUUGUGUGAAAAACCUAUGAAAUCAUCUUUUCAUUAUCACUAUAGUCAUGGUCGAUCCCAAGUGAUCCUAUAACACAAAAAAAAAACAGAAUAGUAAGAUGUUUCAGUUACCAUAACUCCCACUCCCAAUCCACAUUAGCUAUAUGAAUUUGUGCAUCUUGUUGUUCAGUAAUCAUGGAAUCAACACACAAAGCUUCCCCCUCCAGCCAUGGAUUAAAAGAAACUGAUGAUGAUUCUCCCCACCCUAACGGAACAGUGUCUGUUACUAUUUGGCCACAGGGUAAGUUGAAAUAUUUUUCAGAGUUUCCUAAUGUCAUCUGUAUAAUAAACCAAAAGAUGGAUUCUUUUAGAUAGUUCAUCCCUGAAAAAAAACAAUCAAGAGAUAGCUUUAAUAGUUUUCAGUUCAAAAUAAUGGCAAAAGGCUUACCCGCAUCCGCUUCUUGCUACUUUCAGUCUCUACAUCAUCACAUUUUUCUCCAGACUGUUGGUGGUACUCUGUUACAGAGUCUCCAUCACUAUCAUCCGGAGAUUCUGUUUCAGAGCUUCCCUCACUAUCAUCCGGAGAUGUAGACACAUUCAAGAGUCGUAUGCCGCAUCUUUUUACUCUCGUCCCGUUAAACUUAAAUUCCACAUCAUUGACGUCUAAUUUAGAUAGAAGACCUGUAGGCUGGAACUUGAAGGAACACAAAACUAGAUGAUCCGUCUUACACAUCAUUUCCAUGCCCUCAUAUAUUGUAUGUCUAUAAUGUUCGCCAUUGAACUGAAAGAGUACGUCCAUGCAUGCAAAAGAAUGGGUUAUAGGUUCAACCACGAGACAAGCAUUAAAUCGCAAGAAUUUAUGAGAAAGAGAGCUCUGAGGCAAAGUGACAGUUAGGGAAUUUCCAUAAGCUUGAUGCUUAAAAUAUGUAGGCACUUCUCCACCUGGUAAGACCAUAGUCGUCUUGAAGCAUGAUCCUAGGAUAAGUUCUCGCGCAGCUCUAUCCAAUUUGAAGCAAUUCUGGAAUUUAAAAUAUAUUUCUCCAUACUCAUCCUCGUCAUCCUCAUCCUCGUCAUACUCAUACUCAUACUCAUCCUCGUCAUCCUCAUCCUUGUCACAUUUAGGUCUCUUUUCGACCUUAUUUAUCUUUUCAUUGUUUUGAUCUUCCAUUGUUGUCACCGGAUCACUCAACGCUGUGAUGACACCUCCACAGUCUGUAAAGUCGACCUUCAUAAGCCUUGUCAGUCUGAAAAUGUUCGGGGAUAUGUUUUUCAACAUUUUGCAACCACUCAUAUUUAGUACCUUGAGCCUCGAAAAUUUCUCAAUGAAGCAGGGAACUUGUUCAAUGGCGGUGUCAGCUAGAUUGAGUUCUUGAAUACUAGUUGAAAUCUGAGGAAAUCUUCUCAACGACUUGCAACCACGCAUCGAUAAUUCCAUGAGCCUCGAGAAAUUCUCAAAACAUGGAACUUCUUCAAUGGCAGUGUCAUCUAGAUUGAGUACUGCAAUACUUUUUGAAAUCUGAGGGAUAAAUCUCAAACUUGAGCACCCUUUGAGAUGGACUGUAUGGAGAGAUGACAAGUUGAUAUCCAUAGGAAGAACCUUCAGCCCUGUGCAUUCUUCCAUAUUUAACGUGUAUAAUUUUUGGAGAUUCCCAAUUGUAGAAGGUAACAUCACCAAACUUUUGCAAUUUGAGAGAUCCAAAAUCUCCAGAUUGGUGGCCUUUGAAAGGUCUGGAAUUUCUAUCAUGUUUUCACAUUCUGACAGAUCCACCCUCUUGAGUUUCCCAAGCGACUGAAACAGAGUAAAACAUUGUUAUGCUUUUCUUUUUUCUGAAUGUAAAACGUUGUUAUGCUUUAAUCAUUGUCAAUACUAUAUCUGUUUAGUGUUAUAAUCAAGAACAAGACAUAAUUUUGUAUAUAAUACACGUAUAAAUCGUACCUGGACGCCUUCCCAUAGCUUCUCAAGCAUGUUGUUGCCUCUCACUGUGAGGUUUUUGAGAUGUUCUGGGCGAAAUUUACUUGGAUUACAUCUCCUAAGGCAAUCGAGAUAAUCGAGUCCAGGGAGAUUCUUGUUCCAUAAACAAUCUGCUACCUCGAUCUCAAUUUCAUCUGUAAAGAUGAAACUUUGCAUUAUAAUCUCAGGGAAAUUUCUCAACCGGGGGCAUAGUAGGAGAUUGAGGAACUUAAGAGAUUCCGAGUUGAGAGGACUUGGAAAACUUUCUAGCACUUCGCAGUUACAAAGAUCUAAUUCCUCGAGGUUUGUGGCUAAAGAAAGAUCUGGAAUUUCUUUCAAAUUGUUGGAAUUCCUCAAAUUCAUCUUCUUGAGACUUCCAAGAGGCUGAAAACAACAUAUGGAAAAAGAGAAUAACACAGAUUUAUUUAGAUUGUUUAACAAAUAAAUUAAUAAAAAUAACACAGUUCUGUUUUCAAAUAGACAACUCGAAACAAUAAAGAAUUAGUACCUGAGUUCCAUUCCACAGCUUCUCAAGGGCACUAUUCUCCAUUCUGAGUUCAACCAGAUACUCAGCCUUAAAAUUAGAAGGCAAACGCUUCAAUGGACAAUUUUCCCACCGUAGCCAUUUGAGUUUACGUGGCAAGUAAACGAGGCCGUUAGGUAGACGCAAUCUGGUUUCUCUCGGUUGCCACCAGUAAUGAUCAUGAAUAUUUAGAAAUUGGAGAUUAAGCAUGCCUUGGAACGAGUUUUCAUCUAUUGAAAUAAAUGGCUUAUCGAUUUGUGAAUCUGAUGACGUGCUGAAAUCUAUUCCGAGCAAUUUUUCAGUGCCCUGACAAAAAAAAAAAACCCAAAGAAAACUGUUAUCCUCAAGUACCAAACUAAAUCAAUGUUUUUAACAUCAAAAGCCAAUCGUUGAAUUAAUAUAAAGUGGUGCAUUAAGCUGCAAAAACUUACGGUAUUAUCGGUAAAUACGUCUAGAAUUUCCUCAGCAUUCUCCAGAAAUCGACGUUUUCCAGGAUUACCAUUAGACUCUUCACGAUCAAUUUCUGUAGCCAACUUCUGAAGCAAAUUGUGCAUCUCUAUAGUAUCAUUCGGUGUUAAACGUAUGAGGGACUUAUCAUCCAACGUUUUGAGCCUAAUGUUAACAUUAACACCAUCUCCGAGGAAGUCUUUGAUGGAUUUGACUUUCCAACCAUUGAAUAACCAUGCAAUGUAAUGGAAUAUAUCUUGAUCUUUUGGAUCUAAUCUAACGUAGCUGACUCUUAAUGUUUUCAUAAUAUCUCUGUUCAAACCAUUUUGGAGCUCAGCCAGCAUCUCCAUCCACUCUUCUUUGCUCCUUCGUUUUAAAGACGAACCAAGGACACUGAGACCCAAAGGAAGAUUACCGGCAAGCUUUGCAACUUCAAAUGCUAGUUCCUUAAAAUCAUCAGGUGGAGAGUAUUUCCCAAAAGCAUAUUGGCAUAUCAUCUUAAGAGCAAGACCUUGAGAUGGGAGCUUCACCUCAUAUAUAAGGUCAAUCUCAUGAGCCUUGAGAAGUUGCCUAUCUUGAGUGAUCACAAUUAUUCUGCUUCCAGAUCCAAACCAUUCAGCUUUUCCCACCAAGGUCCUAAGAAACUCUAGAUUAUCCACAUCAUCAAGAAGGAUAAGAACUUUCUUGUGCUUCAACCUUUGCUCCACCACACCAAAAUGCUCUAUCUUUAUGUCCUUUUGACCUAAGAUUUCCGAGAGAAGUUCUUUUUCCCAACUCAACUUCAUGCCAGAGACGUCACUACCACUGGUGCUUUUAUAAGUUAUGAAAGCGCGAUGGUGGAACUGGCUAGAGAGUUGACUGAAAAGAGCUCUUCCUAUAGUACUCUUACCAAUCCCUGACUGUCCCCAAAUCCCGACCAUUAUUCUAGCUUCCUUGGAUUCCAAGCACAGUUUUAAUUUUAUUGCCUCUAUAUGAUCCUCAAUUCCGACUAAGUCACCAAAACCCUUUGGCAGAGGAAAAAGUUUAUUCGAAACAUCAUUAGCUAUCUUUACAACCAUGGCUGCUUCACUAGGCCUAAUAACAAUAGUCAAAAUUGUGUCAAUAAAGAGGCACCCCUAAAAGCACAAUCGAAGAUUCGAAGUGAACGCCAAGAAAAGAAAAAAAAAAGUACAGUUUUGCAAUAAUUAUAAACACUCAUAGAAAUAGUGGAAUAAAUAAAACAUACCCGUUCCGAAGAUCCUCCCCGGCUAAAUUUGAUAUAUCUGUGAGAGCUUUAACCCAUCUUUGUUUCUGAUCCUCUGGUUUGUCCUCGCAUGUCUUUUUAAAGACAUCGCCAAAGCCACCGAUCUGUUUUCUAACAUGAGAAGGAUCAACGCCGUAGAAAACCGGAAUCACCAUUUGAUCCAAGUCUUUGUCCUUGUGACACUUGUGGAUCUCCACCAAUUCAUUCAAGCACCACGUGGAAGAAGCAUAGUUCUCAGAGAAGAUAACUAUUGAGAUCCUCGCUUCUCUAAUGGCCGUUAUAAGCUCAUCGGCGAUUAUGCAGCUUCUCACGAUGCCGUGAUCCAUGAAUGUAUUGAUUGAUCUGCGGUCGAGCGCCUCGAUUAGAUGGCUGAGGAACGUUUUGCGAACAUCUACCCCACUGAAGCUUGGGAAAACGUCGUAUCUCCGGCUACUAGGAGAAGAAGAAGAAGAAGAAGAAGAUGAGCUCAGGGUCGUGGUGGAGGUCGGUGGUUGUGGCCAGUGGGUGGGAAGGGUGGAAGCUAGUUUGUAUGUAUGGGGCUGAGGUGGUGCUGAGUUAUGUUGUAAUCACUGUUUUUUACUCUGAGUGUAGGAAACGCCAUGGUAGCAGUGAUGCAAUUGUUGCUGAUGAGGUUGCUAUUUAAAACUUUUUUGUUGUUGAUAGUUCUCUUGUGAAAUUGUGAAAUACAUUUUUGUUUACCAAGAUUAUGAUUUAUUCAUUGCUUUAAAGAGAGGAAAAUAACAUUUCGUAGAGAGAGAUAUGUGUUUCAACAGACAAGACUGUUAUAUUCACAUCUUUCAGGAGAAGCGAAAUUUUCAAAGAAGCAAAACAGAGAAGUAAGAAUAGAGUACUUCUGUUCUGGACAUGGAACCAUAAAAGGUUUCUAGCUGUCAGUAAGUGUUCCAUCAUCUGCAGGAGAAAAUGGCUUGUGUGAAAAACUAAGAAAUCGUCUUGUCAUUACCAGUAUAGUCAUGGUCGAUCCCAUGUUCAUUAUGAAACAGAGUUGUAAUACGUUUCAGGUCACCUUAACAAUGUGAUAAGCUGUGGAGACGGCUAAGGAUCCAGGAAAGGAAUCUUAACAAUGUGAUGGUGUGAAUUCAGUCAAGGCAGAUCUUAACUGAUCAGGGUCAGCAGUGAAAGGUGUCGUCCCCAUCAGACCAAACGUCUAUCAUCUUAGGCCCUCGAUGCAAAGAUCUGAAGCAAACCAAUUCAGUCAAGAACAGCCCCAGAGAAUGAGCUUCCUAUCCUAGAUGUUCUAGUGAGUAGUUCAGGCCUACAACUUUCACUCUUUAUCAUAUAAUUAAAGAGUGCAGCGGGAUGGGGGAACAGCAGCGACAUGUUUUCUCAUCGACGUAGGAUAGCUGGAUGAUACUUCAUGGUUUGGAAGUGGACCAGACAAUGUCUCCUGCAGAAAGUUUAAAAGCUCUUUCCUUCAGCUGAUGGAUUGUUCCUUAUGCUGGUCACAUCUUUGGCCAAAGUUAGGCCAAAAACGCUUCUGCCUUUUGGCUAUUGAAUCAGCAAUGCAAAUGUUGUUGAUGACAAGGAUCUUGCUAUUUAAAAUUAGUUCCAACACACUCUUGUUGUCAAUUCUUUUGUGAAUUUGCGAUAUACAUUUUUGUUUACGCAAAGUCUGAUUUCUCUAUUCAUUGCUAAUAAAGAGAAAAACAACCUGUGCUAAUAUACACAUUGAGAUCUAUGUUUCAAAGAAAAGGCAGACAAAAUGUUCAAAGCAAACAGAGUGUUUCUGCAUUCAGAUAAAGAAGAAAUUACAAACACUUUCAGGCUCCGGAGUUGGAUGAUUAAACGGAAUUUGGUUCUCCAAAUAUCAUUCUGCAGAAUAAAAUGAUCUCCAUGUACCAUCUAUCAAUAAAAAAUGGCUUGUGUCAAAACCUAUGAAAUCGUCUUGUUAUCAUUAUAGAUAUAUAAUCAUGGUCGAUCCCAAGUUAUCCUAAAACAGACCAAAACAGAAUGAUAAGAUGCUUCAGUUACCAGAAACAGGAUCCAAGAAAGGAAUGUCUUCAUCUUGUUCUUUAGUUAUCAUAUAAUCAACAGACAAAGCUUCCCCCUCUAGAGAUGUUGAUGAUGAUGCUUCUCCCUCCCCUAACGAAAGCUCCAUAUUUAGAGCGGCCAAUCCUGUGUCUGCUACAAUUUGGUCACCGGCUAAGUUGAUAUAUUCUUCAGAUGUUCCCGAUGUCAUCUGCAUUAUAAAUCAAACGAUCGAUUCUAUUAAAUAGUCUGUCUCUAUGGUAUUUCGAUCCUGGAAAAUCAAAUCAAAAGUCAAAAUAUAGCUUUAUAAUUUUCAGCUCUAAUCAAAAGUCAAAAGAUACCCGCAUCCGCUUCUUGCUUCUCGUAGUCUGUUGGUUGUACUCUGUUUCUUGAGAGACAUACAUGAGUCGUACACCGCAUUCUUUGAUCCUAUUGGAGCAACAAAACUUAAACUCCACAUCGUUGAAAGUCAUUUCAGACUCGAACUUGAAGGAACAGAAAAACAGAUGAUCCGUCUUACAAAACUCCAGUUCUUCAUCUUCCAAAAAUGAUUUCUGAUACUGUUUGCCAUUGAAGCCAAAGUUUACCUCCAAAUAUCGAUAAAAACCCUUGCCCUCGGAGAGAGGGUCAACCACGAGACAAGCCUUAAAUCGCAAGAAGGAUUGAGAAAGAGAGCUCCGAGGUAAAGUGACAGUUAGGGAAUCUCCAUAAGCUCGAUACGUGAAAUACUUAGGGAUUUCUCCACCUGGUAAGGCCACAGGCUUGAAGCAUGAUCGUAGGAUGAGCUCUCGCGCAUCUCUAUCCAAUUUGAAGCAAUUACGGAAGCUAAAAUAUUCAGUACCUAAGUCCCAAUCACCAUCACCAUACAACUCACCCCAGAAACGUUCACAUGUAUAUUCAAUGUUUUCAGAUAAUGGUACACAAGAAACGCUAUCUUCCAUUGUCGCUACCACAGUUGCAUCACUCAACGCCUUGAUGACACCUCUACAGUCUGUAAAGUCGGCGAACAUUAGACUUCUCAGUCUGAAAAUGUUUGGGGAGAUGUUUUUCAACCUCUGGCAACAAUACAUCAGUAGUACACGGAGCCUCGUGAAAUCCUCAAUGCAGCAGGGAACUUCUCCAAUGGCGGUGUUUUCCAGAUAGAGCCAUACAAUAUUAGUUGAAAUCAGAGGAAAAGUUCUCAAACUUGAGCAACCACUGAGAUCGAGGAUACCCAGAGAUGACAAGUUGACAUCGGUUGGAAGAACCUCCAGCCCUGUGCAUCUUUUCAUGUACAAACGUCUCAAAUUUUGAAGAUUCCCAAUUGUAGAAGGAAGUGUCACCAAACUUUUGCAGUUGUUGAGUAUCAAAGACUCGAGCUUGGUGGCCUUUGAAAGAUCUAGAAUUUCUUCAAUGGCGGUGUUUUCCAGAUAGAGCCAUUUGAUACUCUUUGAAAUCAGAGGAAAAGUUCUCAAACUUGAGCAACCACUGAGAUCGAGGGUUUCGAGAGAUGACAAGUUGACAUCGGUUGGAAGAACCUCCAGCCCUGUGCAUUCUUUCAUUUCCAACCUCACCAAUUUUUGGAGAUUCCCAAUAGUAGAAGGAAGUGUCACCAAACUUUUGCAGUUGUUGAGAUAUAAAUGCUUCAGAUUGGUGGCCUUUGAAAGAUCUGGAAUUUCUGUCAGGUUUUCAGAUUCUGACAGAUCCAUCUCUUCGAGACUUCCAAGCGACUGAAAAAAACAUUAUCGAUGAUAAUCAUUUUAAUUUUAUACCUAUAUAUGUUUAAAAUUAUAAUUAAACAUUAUUACGUAUGUAUGUAAGACAUAACCGUGGAUCGACCACAAGCCAUAAAAACAAAUUUGGGUAUACUUAAUUAGUUAUAUAACAGAAGGUAAACAAAAAUCAGCAUAGCAUUAACAAUGUACCUGGAUGCCUUCCCAUAGCUUCUCAUGCUUGUAGCACCUCACAUUGAGAAAAACGAGAUAUUCUGGGCGAAAUUCACAAGGCAUACAUCUCAUAAGGCAGUCGAGAUAAUCUAGUCCAGCAGGGAGAUUCUUGUUCCAGAAACAAUCUUCUACCACGAUCUCAUUUCUCCCUUCCGGAAAGUCAACGUCUGAACAUCCCAUUUUGAUUGCUGGGAAAUUUCUCAAAUUCGGGCAUCCAGUGAGAUUGAGGUACUCGAGAGAUUCCAAGUUGAGAUCGGUUGGAAAACUCUCUAGCUUUUUGCAAUCACUAAUAUCUAAAUAGAUAAGUUUAAUGGCAUUCUGCAUCGAGGAAGGAAAUGUCACCAAGGAUUCGCAUUUACAAAUAUCUACUUCCUCGAGGUUUAUGGCUAAAGAAAGAUCUGGAAUCUCUUUCAAAUAUUUGGAACCACGCAGAAACAUCUGCUUGAGUCUUCCAAGUGGCUAAUAACAAAAUAGGGGAAAAGAGAGUACACACGUUAGUGAACAUUUUAAACAGAUUCAUUUUAGUUUUUCUAACAGAUUUAUGUUUAGAAAUUGAUCACUAAUAGAAUUAGUACCUGAGUUCCAUCCCACAGCUUCUCAAGGUCACUAUUCUCCAUUCUGAGUUUAACCAGAUACUCAACCUUAAAAUUAGAAUGCAAACGCUUCAAUGGACAAUUAUUCCACAAUAGCAAUCUGAGUUUACUAGGGAAAUAAACGAUGCCCUGAGUGCCUUCCACACGUGAGCAAUCAACUGAUAGAUAUUCGAGAUUACACAUGCCUUCUAAUGAUUUUAAAUCUAUUAAUAUCACCCCCGAACAAUGUAACUUCCUCAGUUUAAUGGCAUUCUGAAUCGAGGAAGGAAGUGUCACCAAAGAUUCGCAUCCUUCAAGAUCUAAUUCCUCGAGGUUUCUGGCAUUAGAAAGAUCUGGAAUUUCUUUCAAAUUUUUGGAACACAACAAAUUCAUCUUCUUGAGACUUCCAAGGGGCUGAAAACAAAAUAUGGAAAAAGAGAAUACACACGUUCACAAAUAUACCACAAUUUUCUGUUCUAAAAACUGACAACUAAUAAAAAUUUAGAAUUCGUACCAGAGUUCCUUCCCACAGUUUCUCAAGCUUACUAUACUUCAUUAUGAGGUUAACUAGAUAUUCCGCCUUAAAAGUAGAUGGCAAAGACUUCAAUGGACAAUCAUCCCAGUCUAGCAAUCUGAGUUUAAGGGGCAAAUAAACGAGGCUCUGAGGUUGACCCCCAUCUGACCAAUCACCAAUUUUUAGAUAUUGGAGAUUACGCAUGCCUUUGAACGAUUCUUUAUCUAUUAAUAACGGCCUUGUCGAAAAAUAUUCCUCGAAUGGCAAACGUAUUCCAAGAAGAGUUUCUGUCCCCUGAAAAAAAAUCCGAAGAAAACUAAUAUAAUCUUAACAAUCACAACCCUUUUUAUUUUUCUGACACAUCAAAGCUACAUUUUAAUUACGAAUGAGGCAACAAUUGCUUAAGUUUAUCAAUCCCCAAAUGACGAUUAAAUUAAUAUAAAGUCAUGCAUUAAAACGGAGCUGCGAAAAAAACUUACAGUUUUCUCGGUCACUACUUCAUGAAUAUCCUCAAAAUUCGUCAGAAAUUGACGUUUUCCAGGAUUACCCUUGGACUUUGCACGAUCAAUUUCUCUACCCAAUUUCUCUAGCAAAUUGUGCAUCUCUAUAUGUCCAUCCGGUGUAAUACGUAUGAGGGACUUCUCAGACAACAUUGUAAGCCCAACAUUAUCUUCAAGUAAAUCUUUGACGUAACUGACCUCAAAACCAUUGAAUAAACACGCAAUGCAAAGGAACAUAUCUUGAUCUUUUUGAUGUAAUCUAUCGUAGCUGACUCUUAAUGUUUUCAUAAUAUCUCCGUUCAAACCAUUUCGGAGCCUAGGCAUCAUCUCCAUCCACUCUUUUUUGCCCCUUCUUCUUAAUGACGAACCCAGGACAUUGAGACCCAAAGGAAGAUGGCCGGCAAGCUUCGCAACUUCAAAUGCUAGUUCCUUAAAAUCAUCAGGUGGAGAGUCUUUCCCAAAAGCAGAUCGGCAUAACAUCGUAAGAGCAAGACCUUGAGAUGGCAGCUUCACCUCAUAUACAAGGUCAAUGUCAUGAGCCUUGAGAAAUUGCCUAUCUUGAGUGAUCACAAUAAUUCUGCUUCCCGAUCCAAACCAUUCAGCUUUUCCCACCAAGGUCUUAAGAAACUCUAGAUUAUCCACAUCAUCAAGAAGGAUAAGAACUUUCUUGUGCUUCAACCUUUGCUCCACCACACCAAAAUGCUCUAUCUUUAUGUCCUUUUGACCUAAGAUUUCAGAGAGAAGUUCUUUUUCCCAACUCAACUUCAUGCCAGAGACGUCACUACCACUGGUGCUUUUAUAAGUUAGGAAAGCGCGAAGGGGGAAUUGGAUAGAGAGUUGACUGAAAAGAGCUCUUCCUAUGGUACUCUUACCAAUCCCUGAUUGUCCCCAAAUCCCGACCAUUCUAGCUUCCUUGGAUUCCAAGCACAAUACUGAUUUUAUUGCCUCAAUAUGAGCUUCAAUUCCGACGAAGUCAUCAAAACACUUUGACCGAGUGAUAAGUUUAUUCGAAACAUCAUUGGAUAUCUUUUCAACCAUAUGCGCUUCAUUAGGCCUAAUAACAAAAGUCAAUUUUGUCAAUUAAGAAGCACCCCUAAAAGAAGAACCGAAGUCUAUGCAAAAAUAUAGUUCUGAGACAAUUGAAAACGCAAGCAGAUAUAUUGGAAUCAUAACAACGUACCCGUUCAGAAGAUCCUCUCCGGCUAUAUUUGCUAUAUCUGUGAGAGCUUGCACCCAUCUUUGUUUCUGAUCCCCUGGUUGUUUGUCCUUGCUGACCUCGCAUGUCUUUUCAAAGACCUUUCCAAAUUCGCCGGUCUGUUUUCUAACUUCCGAAGGAUCAACGUCGUAGAAAACUGGAAUCACCAUUUGACCUAAAUCAUUAAAGCACUUGUGGAUCUCAACCAAUUCAUUUAAGCACCACGUUGAAGAAGCAUAGUUCUUAGAGAAGAUGACGAUUGAGAUCCUAGCUUCUCUAAUCGCCGAUAUAAGCUCAGGGGCGAUUGUGCGGCUUCUCUCGAUUCCAUGAUCGAUGAAUGUAUUGAUUGAUUUGCCGUCGAGCGCCUCGAUUAGAUGGCUGAGGAACGUCUUGCGAACAUCAACCCCACUGAAGCUUGGAAAAACGUCGUAUCUCCGUCUGCCAGAAGAAGAAGAAGCCGCCAUGGGAGAUGAUAGAGAGAACUCAGAGAAGAGACGAAGAUUUUUAAGAGAAGUAAAUCAGCAAGACAUAGUGUGAGAAAGAGAGGAGAAACUUCGUCUUCCUUCCCUCCAAGACUUGCAUAGAAGACUUACUGUACAAGAUAUUCUUUUAAGUGGCUAAAAUCAAAUCUCCUAACAAGACAAUUGAGACGUAAAUAAUAAAGAAACUCGGCCCUUCCUUUCCUCGAAAGCUUUUUUACACUACAUACAAAGAUAUUUUUGAAGAUUGAAUUUUUGUGGUUGUCACUGAAUUAUGAUAAGUCUUAGUCUUUGUACAAGACAGAAAUAAUAUUUCAAUUUCUAGGCAAGUAGACAGAAACUUACAUUCGUUUCCUCUACAAAGAUAUUUUGAAAACACAAAUUUUGUGGUUAUCAGUUGUCCUUGUACAAGACAGUUUAUCGUAAGAAUGUUAUGAUUGUUUAAUAUCUAAGUCUUGUUUCCCUAUACAUACAUGCACACGGUUUAGGAGAAUAAGUAUAUCGAUUAUGAGGAUUUUAAUUCAAAUAAUACAGUGAAAAUACUAAUUAACACUAACUCUCUAGUUUGCUAAAUUACUCUUUUAGUUUUCAAGAAUUGUAUUAUUAGUUUAAAGUUUGGCUUAGUGCGUCAGCCACCACUGUAGUUUUAAGGAGCAUUUGGUUUCUAAGGGUUUCAUGUACUGGAUGGAAGAACUCGUGUCUGAGAACAUCCUCUGCGCUGUUUCGUUGCCUUGGGUUAACGGUCAAACAUCUAUCCACGAAGUCAAGGAGCGGCCGUGGAAUUGCGUCUAGAAACUCUCUGCGUUUGUGUUGAGUUCACACCAUUUUCUCAACUCCAGCCCCUUGAAGUACCUUGACUCGUACAAUUCCUGAAACAACAACACAAAACUCUACGUGAAUUCAUCUCACACGAUCAUCUAUCUAAUCAUUUUGUCACUAAUUUACAUUUUAAAGAUAUAUAAUGCUAACGAUGAAAACCCUUUUGUGAUAUUUGAAUCCAUAUGCUGGUGGCAAAGAAGAACAGAGCAUGUAUGUUAUAUUCAAACCAAUGCAGCAAUCAAAUAAAUGGAGAGUUUUAUCAGGGAGGUAAGAUGAGAUGUAACCUCAGGGAAAGAGGAUUCACGGUUGUGCAGCUUGGCUACUUCCCAUAAUUCUUCACUGCCUCGUAGUUGCGCAAUGCCCUUUAUGUUCCUGGGAAUGACAAGGUCGUUGUAAGACGGCAAGAAAGAAAAAAGAGUGGAAUCGACUGAUGGUGUAUUAUUUUUUUUUUCUAUUAUUAGGUAAUUGGUACAAUAUCUGAAGCAAACCUGCACAAACCAAUUCAGCUAAAAUAAGCACCAGAGAAAUUAGCUUUCACAUCCUAAAUGUGAUAAUGACUAGUUCACUCCUACAAUUGUAGUCUCAGCUCUCAAUGCACAAGUUUAUUAUAUAUGGAAUUAAUUACUAACAUACACAUUGAGAUGUAUCUGUGUUUUUAGAAAAGUCAGGACUAAUUUAAAAACAUUAACUAAUUCAAUGUCUUUUAAACUUAUCCAUAGAUGUAAGGAAACAUACAAAAUCUGUCAAAAAUACUUUUCCAGAAUGAGCUAAAUUGUGGCUUUCAAAACAUGUAUUUAUACGAAAGCCUUAGAGAAGUAGAUACAAAGAUGUAAGAACAGAGUACCAUGCUCUAGAGUUGGAGACUUAAAAAGGCACCAGCGACGAAGAGCUUGAUGAGCCUGAUGAGCCUGAUGACCUAUAAAAGAAGAAAGAACAGAGUCAAAGAGUCAACAUUAUAACUAAAUAUUGAGUCUUUAAAGUAUAUAUAUAUAGAGAGAGAGUCUCUAAUUCUGUGAGAGAUUGAUUAUCCAAUCAGUGAAUUGGUGUGUUUCAGAGCCUGAAACUCUGCAGUUCUCUUCAUUAUAAUUCAGGUUAUUUGAUAGAUCAAUAAAGAUUGCUUGUCUUGUUAUGCUGCAACAAAACAAAACAGAAUAGUAAGAUGUUUCAGUUACCAUGAUGCCUCAGAAUCUUCGUCCCUAUGCGCGAUGGGAAUUUCUUUAGCUUGUCGCUUAGUUAUCAUGGAAUCAACAGAGAAAGCUUCACCCUCCAGACAUGGAUAUGAAAUUGAUGACGAUUCUCCCCGCCCUAAUGGAAGCUCCAGAUUUGGAGCGGUCAAUCCUGUGUCUGUUACUGUUUGGCCACAGGGUAAGUUGAAAUCUUCUUCAGAGUUUCCUAAUGUCAUCUGUAUAAUAAACCAAACUAUCGAUUCUUUUAGAUAGUGGCCUUCCUGAAAUAUUAAAAAGAAAAUCGAGAGAUAGCUUUAAUAGUUUUCAGUUCAAAUUAUGGCAAAAGACUUACCCGCAUCCGCUUCUUGCUACUACUCUCAGUCUCUACAGCAUCACAUUUUUCUCCAGACUGUUGGUUGUACUCUGCUUUAGAGCUUCCAUCACUAUCAUCCGGAUAUGGAGACACAUGCAGGAGUUGUACGCCGCAUCCUUUGAUCCUCCUCCCUUUAAACUUGAAUUCCACAUUAUCCAAGACCUUUACCUUUGGAUAUAGAGUAUUUUUAAACUGCCGGAACUUGAAGGAACACAAAACCAGAUGAUCCGUCUUACACAUCAGUGUCAUAUCAGUAGCUAUUGUAUGGAUAUAAUGUUCGCCUUUGUAUUGGAAGUAUACAUACACACUCCCAUAAGAAUCGGUUUGAGGUUCAACCACUACACAAGCAUUGAAUCGCAAAAAUUUGUGAGAGAGAGAUCUCCGAGGUAAAGUGAUAUUUACGGAAUUUCCAUAUGCUCGAUGCUUGAAAUAUGCAGGCACUUCUCCACCUGGUAAAACCAUAGUCUUCUUGAAGCAUGAACGUAGGAUGAGUUCUCGUGCAUCUCUAUCCAAUUUGAAGCAAUUCUGGAAGUUAAAAUAGUUUCUUCCAUACCAAUAAUUAUCUUCAUCCUCAUCCUCCUCCUCAUCAUCCUCCUCCUCAUCCUCGUCCUCAUCCUCAUCAUCGUCAUCGUCAUCUUCAUCCUCCUCAUCCUCAUCCUCAUCCUCAUCCUCGACAUCGGUAUUCUCGUUAUACUCAUCCUCAUCCUCAUUCUUGUCAUAACUCAUCCUCAUUCUCGUCAUCCUCAUUAUAGUCAUCCUCAACAUCAUCGUCUCGUGUACGCAUCUUUUCAAUCUUUUCAUAGUGAUCAUCCAUUGUUGCCACCACAGUGGAAUCACUCAACGCCGAAAUGACACCUCCACAGUCUGUAAAGUCGACCUUCUUAAGCCAAGUCAGUCUGAAAAUGUUCGGGGAGAUGUUUUUCAACUUUUUGCAACCACUCAUAUUUAGUAUCUUGAGCUUCGAAAAAUUCUCAAUGAAGCAAGGAACUUGUUCAAUGGCGGUGUCAGCUAGAUUGAGUUCUUGAAUACUAGUUGAAAUCUGAGGAAAUCUUCUCAACGACUUGCAACCACGCAUCGAUAAUACAAUGAGCCUCGAGAAAUUCUCAAAACAUGGAACUUCUUCAAUGGCAGUGUCAUCUAGAUUGAGUACAGCAAUACUUUUUGAAAUUUGAGGGAAAAAUCUCAAACUUGAGCACCCUUUGAGAUUGACUGUAUGGAGAGAUGACAAGUUGACAUCCAUAGGAAGAACCUUCAGCCCUGUGCAUUCUUUCAUUUCUAACGUGUAUAGUUUUUGGUGAUUCCCAAUUGUAGAAGGUAACGUCACCAAACUUUUGCAAUUUGAGAGGUUCAAAUUCACCAGAUUGGUGGCCUUUGAAAGAUCUGGAAUUUCUAUCAGGUUUUCACAUUCUGACAGAUCCAUCCUCUCAAGUUUCCCAAGGGACUGAAACAGAGUAAAACAUUGUUAUGCUUUUCUUUUUUUUAAUGUAAAACGUUGUUAUGCUUUAAUCAUUGUUGAUACUAUAUCCGUUUAGUGUUAUAAUCAAGAACAAGACAUAAUGUUGUAUAUAUUACACGUAUAAAAAUCGUACCUGGACGCCUUCCCAUAGCUUCUCAAGCAUGUUGUUGCCUCUCAGUUUGAGAUUAACGAGAUGUUCUGGUAGAAAUUUACUUGGAUUACAUCUCCUAAGGCAAUCGAGAUAAUCUAGUCCAGGGAGACUCUUGUUCCAUAAACAAUCUGCUACGUCGAUGUCAAUUCCAUAUGGGGAAAUUUGCAUUAUAGUCUCAGGGAAAUUUCUCAACUUGGGGCAUCGUAGGAGAUCGAGGUACUCGAGAGAUUCCGAGUUGAGAGGACUUGGAAAACUUUCUAGCACUUCGCAAUCAGAAAUAUCUAAUCUCUCGAGGUUCAUGGCAUAAGAAAGAUCUGGAAUUUCUUUCAAAUAUUUGGAAUUACGCAGAAUCAUCUUCUUUAGGCUUCCAAGUAGCUGAAAACAAGGAAAGAGAGAAUAACACACAUUUAUAAACAUUUCAAACAGAUUUAUUUAGAUUGUUUAACAAAUAAAUUAAUAAAAAUAACACACUUCUGUUUUCAAAUAGACAACUAAAACAAUAAAGAAUUAGUACCUGAGUUCCAUUCCACAGCUUCUCAAGGUCACUAUUCACCAUUCUGAGUUCAACCAGAUACUCAGCCUUAAAAUUAGAAGGCAAACGCUUCAAUGGACAAUUAUCCCACCAUAGCCAUUUGAGUUUACGUGGCAAGUAAACGAGGCCGUUAGGUAGACGCAUUCUGGUUUCUCUCGGUUGCCACCAUGAAUGAUCAUGAAUUUUUAGAUAUUGGAGAUUAAGCAUGCCUUGGAACGAGUUUUCAUCUAUUGAAAUAAAUGGCUUAUCUAUUUGUGAAUCUGAUGACGCGCUGAAAUGUAUUCCGAGCAAUUUUUCAGUCCCCUGACAAAAACAAAUCCCCAAAGAAAACUAUUAUCCUCAAGUACCAAACUAAAUCAGUUUUUUUCUGUCCUUUUUAACAUCAAAAGCCAAUCGGUGAAUUAAUAUAAAGUGGUGCAUUAAGCUGCAAAAACUUACGGUAUUAUCGGUAAAUACGUCUAGAAUUUCCUCAGCAUUCUCCAGAAAUCGACGUUUUCCAGGAUUACCAUUAGACUCUUCACGAUCAAUUUCUGUAGCCAACUUCUGAAGCAAAUUGUGCAUCUCUAUAGUAUCAUUCGGUGUUAAACGUAUGAGGGACUUAUCAUCCAACGUUUUGAGCCUAAUGUUAACAUUAACACCAUCUCCGAGGAAGUCUUUGAUGGAUUUGACUUUCCAACCAUUGAAUAACCAUGCAAUGUAAUGGAAUAUAUCUUGAUCUUUUGGAUCUAAUCUAACGUAGCUGACUCUUAAUGUUUUCAUAAUAUCUCUGUUCAAACCAUUUUGGAGCUCAGCCAGCAUCUCCAUCCACUCUUCUUUGCUCCUUCGUUUUAAAGACGAACCAAGGACACUGAGACCCAAAGGAAGAUUACCGGCAAGCUUUGCAACUUCAAAUGCUAGUUCCUUAAAAUCAUCAGGUGGAGAGUAUUUCCCAAAAGCAUAUUGGCAUAUCAUCUUAAGAGCAAGACCUUGAGAUGGGAGCUUCACCUCAUAUAUAAGGUCAAUCUCAUGAGCCUUGAGAAGUUGCCUAUCUUGAGUGAUCACAAUUAUUCUGCUUCCAGAUCCAAACCAUUCAGCUUUUCC
RNAcentral lists this long non-coding RNA (45766 nucleotides) under Arabidopsis thaliana (thale cress). RNAcentral's name for it is "long non-coding RNA (ATHA_LNC000268)". The record is from RNAcentral. Lineage: Eukaryota; Viridiplantae; Streptophyta; Magnoliopsida; Brassicales; Brassicaceae.